AACCGGAAAAAAAAAAAAAAAAAAAAAAAAAAAAAAAACCCCAAAGACAAUUUGCUUAAAGAUCAAUACCUUUGGUUGUAUAGGAGCUCCAUUUGCGAUCUGUUUGGGAGAAUGAGAUUUUGGCAUCGACUCAAUUGGAGAAUAAGCCCGGAGAGAAGGAAGAGAUGGAAGUUUAGCAGAAGGCCUAGAUGGGUUCUCAUGUUUGCAGGAGACUGAGUUGACUCGCCUGGACUCAAGGCGUGGAAAAGGGAGGAAGCCGAGUUUAGGGGAGUCGAUUCGCCCGAGUCUAGGAAGAAAGGGACAGGGUUUGAGGUUGAGUUUGAUAGAAGUUGGAGAAGAAGAGUAUAGAAGCCUCUCCAUGGCCUCUCUCUCUCUCCUCUUUGUCACUCUCUGUUUGUGCUUUUUGUGGAGAGGUUUUACAGGGAAAGACUUUGAGGGAGACAAAGAAGGUGGGUUGGUGAGGAUAGCGUUUUGGCUGAGAGGGUUAACGGAAAAUUGAAAAUUCGGAUAUUUUCAAAAUAAAGUAAUACUGUUAAACAGUUUUUUUCUCUUUCUGUGUUUGAAGAAUACUAAAAGCUCUAAUAAUUGAUUUUAAUUUUUUAAUUUUAAUGUUUAACCAUGAUUUUUUUUAAAUUUUUAAUAUUAAAUAUAAAUAUGACUAGUAAUUAUCAUAAUAAAUGAGUUUAAAUAUUAGUAAUUUAAUAUUAUAGUUUAAAUGCACUUUUUUUAUCUAUUUUAAUGUUUCCUCUUUGUUUCAGUUUUUAUAUAUAUUAGUGCUUUUAUAACACAUAUUGCAAGUUGUCGUUAUUUGUUUUUUACUCAUUAUGCUCGUUCAUUAUUAUUUGUUAUAAUAUUAAGAUUUGUUAUAAUUUUUUUCAUAUUUUUUUAGAUUUUUAUAUAACGUAAAUAAAAUGACUAAAUAAUCAUAUUUUAUAUAUAUGUACUUUAAUUCAAUUUAUAAAUCUAACAUGUAUCUACAUUGCACUUUAACAGCACAUAGUACCACAAUGCUACUCAAUAAGUACGUUGUAAUGUAUAUACGUGUACGUAUACAAAUUUCUCCAUAUAUUUAAGAAUUAAUAACAUAUUCAUUUUUUAUCUAGCCAAACAAUUUUAAAAGGCAAUAUAUAUAUAUAUAUAUAUAUAUAUAUANNNNNNNNNNNNNNNNNNNNNNNNNNNNNNNNNNNNNNNNNNNNNNNNNNNNNNNNNNNNNAUAUAUAUAUAUAUAUUAUUUCUCUCCUAAUUAAAAACCUUUAAAUUAUAAUCAAAUAUUAAUUAUAUAUUUUAACUGGUAUUUAAAUUAAAAUUUUUAAUUAAAUAUUUUAAAUUACAAUCAAAUAUUAUAUAUGAAUUUUUAUUUAUUUGAUUUUUUAAUUUUUUUCUUAUUUCUCUCCUAAUUAAAAUAUUUUAUUGUAUUAUAUAUAUUGUUAUAUUAAAAUUUUUGUUCACCAUAUCAAAUAUUUUUAAAAUAUAAUUAUUAUAUAUUUGUUAAAAUUUAUGUACUCAUCACGCUCUAGUAUCUUUUAAAUUAUAAUCAAAUAUUAUAAUUAAAUAAUAUAUAUUUUUAAAUUAGAUAUUUCUAAUUACUAUUUAAAAUAUCUUAAAUGACGAUGAAAUAUUAAAUUUAAACUUUUAUUAUUUUUUCUUUUUCCUUAUUGUUCUCCUGAUUAAAACCUUUUAAUUAAAUUACAAUUAAAUCAAAAAAAUUUUUAUAUUUUUUAAGUUAAAAAUUUUUUAAGUUAAAUUUUUAAUCAUGAAAUACUAUUAUGUAUGUUAGUGCAAAUUUCAAUAUUUUAAGAAAUCUCAUUAUGUUUCACUUUUUUUAUAUAUUUAUAUACAGUAUUUAUAGAGAAAUUAUUAUUAUUAUUAUUACUCCAUUAUUUAUGGCUUUGAUGCUUAUUAGUUAUGAUAGUUGCGUGGCCCAUUAAAUUAUCGUUGACUAUACUAAAAUAAAGUAGCGGUUUCUGUUUGGCCACAACAAACCCUUAUAAUAAUCAGGUCCCUCCCGAUGGUUUAUGGUUUAUAUAUUUUGUCAUGUAAAUAUAUACAAAUGUAAAGCUAUCUUAUUUAGGGUCUAUCCACGGCACUAGUUGUUAUAGAAGUUGUUAGUUGUUUUAGGAGCCGUUAACCAUUAGUUAUUUAUAUAGUAGUUAAAAUAAAAGUGUUUGCUAAAAAAAUAACUGUUUGAUUAGCUGUUAUAAAUCAAAUGACAAAAAAUGACAUUGAAAUGUUGACUUUAAAAAUUGAUAUAUAUAUAUAUAUAUAUAGAGUAGCAAGUGUUUUUUUUCUUUUCUAAAUUAUUAUCAUUUUUUUUUUUAUAGCAAAAGAUUAUUUCUUAUAGAAUUGAAAUGAAAAAACUAAAAAAUUAUUUCUUGUAAUUUUUAUUUUAAGGUAAUAAGAAAUAACAAAAUAGAAUAAUUAAAAAUGACAUGUGAAACGCUAAAUGUUUGGAGAUUUAACAUUUAAUGAAACGAUGCCUAAUUUCUAAAUGUUAAUAUAAAUAUUAUAUUACCGAAAGAUGUAAUUAAUAGAAUAAUGUUGUUGUCAAGUAAAUCCUUAUUCCGUUUGGCUGAUAUGAUUUUUUUUUUUUUUUUUUUUUACUUCAAAAAAUAUUUUGAAGCUUUCCCAUUUUCAUGUUGAGUUGAAGCUUUCAUUCCACGAAAGAAUCAAAGUUCAGAAAUAUAAGUUUUUAGUUUAUCCCUUAAAAACUCCAUUUUUUAAAGUUAAAUAAUAGUUUAUUAAAUUUUUAUACGGAAAAGAGAAAGUUAAAACAAUGAAAUUAGGCUUCAAAAAUAAAAAAUUUUUUAAUUUUUUAAAAUUUUUCGAAACAUAUCACAAUCAGUUCAAUUUAAAUAAUUCGAAAUUGAUUGCUAAAUCAGACGUAUGGACUGCUGAAUUGAUUUAAAAUCAUAAAAUUCAUAAUUCCUAUUGACAUUUAUAAUCAAUAAUACCAUUUAGAGGGAGACCUUCAAAUUGCAUAAUUAAUUUAUUUUUUUUUUAUUUAUUGAAAGGCUUAACGGGUCAAGUUAAUACUGUGAGCUACACAAUAUAAAUAACAUUCCUCUGAAUUAACCAAAUUGGUAAAAACACUUAUAAUCGGGAGAACUCGAACUCGAAACCUCUCACUUCGUAUAAAUGAGAAGAUCAAUAAUACCACACUCCUAAUCGGUAUUAAUUUUUUUUAACAGCAUAAUUAAUUUCUUAUAAAAUGAGAGAGAUAUAAUAAAUAAGCUCUAAAUUAAUAAUUGAUACAAUGAGCCCAAAAGCGAAUUUGUCGAGGUGGCUAAUAGGAUAACAGAUAGAUUCAAUUACUUGGAGGUUUCCAAUUGUGAGAACAAAAGCUUUGAAUAUAUCAAACAGGAUAACUUAUCCGGUAGCCAUUUUUUUCAAAAAAAAAAAAAAAAAAGUGCAUAAAUUAAAAAGUCCACAUAUUAACACGUCAAACUUUGCGGUUGCGCUCACGCUAACACGCAUUCUCAAGGCGCCUCCUUGCGCUCGGCACACGCACCCAAUAGAUACUCCGCACGUUCAAUUUAAGAAGGCAGUGGACAGUUGUCCAUAUUAAUUCAAUUUUAAGAGCGAACACACUUGUCUACACCAGCUGUAUUAGCACAUCAAUACAAGAAAUAAAUAAUUAGUUGCGAUUUGAAAAAAUUAUUUUAACUAUUUUGCAGAACCGCAUAACACCGGUUCAAAUCAAAUCAAACCGAUGUUAAAUUGUGAUUUUAAAAGUUAGUGAUUUGAUUUGUAAAAUUUAAAGAUUUAGGUUUUAGUUAAAUUUAUGGUUUUAUAUUUAAAAUUGUGCAAAUCGCACCAAAAUGUUUUAUAUCUAUAAAAACUUUUAAAUGCUAAAUAAUUUAGUUUAAUUUUUAAUGAAAAAUUUCUCUGCAUUGCUUAGUUUGUAUUGCAUAAUAAUUAUAUAUAAUUUCAUAUCAUUUAAAUAAGUUAUAUAAUUAUAUUAUUUGUAAGUUCAAAUGUCAAAUAUUUUAAAAUGAUGACUAUUCACUGCUUAGUUUUUUUUUUUAAUAUUUAAAAAAAACUAAAAUAGAUACACUCAUUAUCUACUUUUCUUUUUCACUUGUUUCAAAUUAUAAUAUUUUUCAAAAAAAUAAUAAUUUUUGUAGUUUAUUAUUUUAUCUCUAUUUAAUGUGUAUUUCUUCCAACAAAUAUGCCACUAUUAUAAUUAGCUAAAUCUUGAAAUAAACAAAACAAGGUCACUAUUAUUGUCACAUAUAUUAACCAACCUAUUUUUAAUUACAUUUAUUCUUGUAUUAAAAACUUACUGGUAUUAGAACCCGCGCGAUGUAUGAAACAAUAUUAAAUAAUGAAAUAACAUCAUUCAAAAAUGAUCGUAAUCAAAAUUAUAUCUCAUUAAGAUAUGCAGAAAAUGUUGGAAUGCUAAGAUGUGUCUUUUUAAGUAUCCUCUAAAGCAUUUCACUAUGAUAUGUAAAAGUAAAAGUUAUACAUGGUAUAACCUGUAUAAAAAAAUAUACACACUAUUAAUUUAUUUUUAAAUAGUAAUAGUGAUUUUGGGAAUUUAACUAAUUAUAUUGAAAUAACAAAUUAAUUAUUUUUUAUAUUAUGUUUAUAAUUUAUUGUAAAUGAUUAUUUAUUUAUUUAAAAUAUUAAUGUAUUAGACUUAUUUAGUGUAAUGUGUCAUGCGCGUGUGGAUGUCAUACUUUUUUAAAAAUAAUCGUAUCUCGUACGUUCCUGCAUCUCGUAUCCUGUGUUCCGUGUCUGUACAACUUAACUCUUGGUAUAUGAGACUACUAUAUACACUAAGUCAAUCAACUAAGGUUAUUUUUUAUUAGCAAGAAAAAAUAAAGUUUUUUUUAAUUCAUUUUUGUGUCCUUUUUUUUUUAUUAAUGAAUGAUCACAAACACUGUUGUUACAACUAAAAAUAUAUUUCGAUAGUCUUGGUAAGUCAUUAGUUUUUGUCAAACUCUAUAAUUAUUUCCAUCAAAGAGAGAUAUUUUAAUGAAAACUGAUAAAUAAAUUGAAAUGAGAGGAUGUUAGCUUUAGGCUCCAUAUUGAUAAGAUUGGCCGAUAAUUUAACUAAUUAUAUUGAAAGAAAAAUUAAGUAUUUUUUUUAAAUUUGUUUUAUCUUUUUUUUUUUAAAAAAAAUAGUUCAACAACUUAAUUUAGAAUUAUAAUAUUUGUCAUUUUAUAAUUCAAAAUACUGCUAAGUGGUAAAUUGUACUAUUUACAUUUGGUUUUCAUAUAAAGAAAACUACUCUCCUUUUAUAUAUUAUAUAAAUAAAUUAGGUCUGGCCAAUACUUGAUAUUUUUCAAAACUAAAUUAAGAAAAAAUAAGAAGAAACUAAAAUUUAUUUCAAAAAAAACUUAUAUUACUUAAUUUUUUAUAUAAAAGAAAAUAAAAUUAAUUUUUCUCUACAAAUUUAUUUAUAGUUUUUUUAUUUUCUUUCUAAUUUGAAGAGAAAAUUAUCGAAAUUCUUUUUCCUUAUAUUCAUUUCUUAUUUUCAAAUUAAAUAAUUUUUGCUUAUUAAUAUUAGUUUAGCUUUCUUUUCUCUUCAAUAUUAUUUGAAAAUAUAAAACAAUUUAUUUCCUUACAAUAGUUUUCAUUAGAACUAAACUCUUUAUAAUUGUGCUAAAUAACUUUACAUUUGGCAAUUGGCAAUUUGAGAUUGACACUUGUCUGUCGUUUAAAAUAUACUGCGUUAAUUAGUGUUGUGAUCUAUCUUUUAGGGCCAGAUUGAUAUUAAGAUUUGGUAAGUUUAAAGCGAUGGAAGUCCAUAAUAAGUCUAACCUAGUAACCUACUAAACAAAUAAUAGCAAAAUCCAUAUAUCAUUUGGGCCUUAGGCCCACUAUCCAAGCAGUCUCUAUGACAGAUUGCCAUCGAUAAAUAUAUAUCCAUAGUUGUGAUACUCAGCUCGAAUCAAUUUACAUAACCAAUAAGAUACUUAUUUCACAGUGAAAAUUUUAAUGGAGGCUCAACAUCCUUUAUUCGUUCAGUAAUAUUACAAAUACUCACAUCACACUAAUUACUUUUAACUAAUACAAUCGCUUCUCUUCUUUUUUUUUUUUUUUUAUUCAUACAUUUCAAUUUAAACUACACUUUCGCCGUUAAACUACAUCUAUGGCUUUAUUUGCUUCCAUAAAAUAACUUAUCAUUAUUAUUAAUAUUUUUUAUAGUCUUAUGAGACAAAGACUUUAAUAUUUUUAACUAUAUUAUAACUAAACAACGAAAAAUAAAUCACUUGGAAAAUAUUUGUCACUUGAAUUGGAAAAUAUAUUGUUUAGCAAGUUAUUUUACGGAUCAUCUAUUAAAAUGAUGUAGCAUGAUUACUCAUGGACCCUAGCAUGUUACUUACCAAUUGAAAUCCAAGAUGAGCCUUGAUUCAAAUCUCUGCUACUGUUAGAACAGGUAGAUUAAAAGCGAUGUGAAGAUCUUCUGCUUCACGUCCUGUGACUUUUAAAUACCAGAGUUUUGGGGACUGGCUUUGAGCGAGUGUGAGCCAAUGCAAAUGUCUAACCUUGAUAGGAAUUUUGAGACCUUAUAAGCCCCAGCUCUCUCCGAACCCUGACAAGCAAAGAGAAAGAUAUGUAGAGAGUGAGUUUCGAGGAUGAGUUCACUCGAAUGUGGUUAAGUCGAAAUUCAAACUAUUUGGAGGGUGUGAUCAAAAGGAGAGAGAAAGAAGACAACAACAAAGAGGAGGAUGAUCGAAGUAAAGAGGAGGCAACGACGGAGGAAGAUGAGGAAUGGAUGUUGAGGUGGCUGUAGUAGGGCAAAAUGAUGACAUUUGGGGAAAAGAGUGAGUUUUGAGCCCUUGGUGUGUUUUAAUAUUCAAGUUAAACUAAGGAUAGUCAUAGUAUAUGAAUUCUACUUUUACAAUAUUUUAUUUAAAACUCUAAGUUAAAUUUAAAAUUAAAGAAAAAAUAUACCUAAUUUUAUAAAUUGGAAUUAACUAAAGUAUAAAGAACAAAUAGGUCGAUUUGAAGCCUCAUUUCCAAUAUAUAUAUAUAUAUAUUUUUAUAACAUAGUUGUAAUGCUUUAAAAUAUAAUUUUUUUGAUAUUGCUGCACAAAUUUAUUUAUUGUUCUUAUUAAUUUAUAUUUGUUUCCCUCCAAAUUUUGAAAUCUAUUUCUACUUCCUAGGCAUGGUGGUUCAGGUUCGAGAUAUUUAAAAUUUUGAACUGGAAUCGACCCUUGAACUUUUGGUUCCGACACAGUUCAGGCGAACCGACAGUUUGAAUUACGGUUCCGAUUCGAUUCCGGCAUUACGCAAAUUUUUAAAAAAAUAAUAAAAUUUUGAUUUCGAAUUCAUAAUAAAUAAUAAUUUUAAAAUGUUUCAAUUUUAUUAACUAAAUAAAUUAUUAUAAAAUUUUAAAAGAAAAACUUCUAUUAACUAACUUAGAACUAUUAUUACAUUAAAUUUACAAAUUUUGCUAAUUCACUAAUAUAGAAAACCAUAAAUGGAAUGAGUUGGAAAUUAUUAUUUUCAAAUACUAAGAAAAUUAUUAAAAAAAUUAAAUGAAGUAAAUUUAUGAAUGGAAAAAAUUGAGAUUAAAGAAAGAAUUUGGAAUUGGAUGUAAGAAAAUAAAAAAUAAAUAAUAGAUAAUUCCAAUAUUAAGGAAAAUAAAGCAAUAGAAAAAAUAAUGAACUAUGGAAAUUUGAGAGAAUUUUGAUUGAGAAUAAGAGAAGAGUUGAGAUAUAAUUGGUUGUGAAAUAAAAAGUCAUCAACUCAUCAUAUUUAUACAUGUUUCUCAUUUAUUAGUUUCCCAAAUUGUCCCUUAUAACAGAAAAAUAACAGCUAUAUUUUUGGAUAAUUUAGUAAAUUACAGUAAAUAAAUAAAUAAAUNNNNNNNNNNNNNNNNNNNNNNNNNNNNNNNNNNNNNNNNNNNNNNNNNNNNNNNNNNNNNNNNNNNNNNNNNNNNNNNNNNNNNNNNNNNNNNNNNNNNNNNNNNNNNNNNNNNNNNNNNNNNNNNNNNNNNNNNNNNNNNNNNNNNNNNNNNNNNNNNNNNNNNNNNNNNNNNNNNNNNNNNNNNNNNNNNNNNNNNNNNNNNNNNNNNNNNNNNNNNNNNNNNNNNNNNNNNNNNNNNNNNNNNNNNNNNNNNNNNNNNNNNNNNNNNNNNNNNNNNNNNNNNNNNNNNNNNNNNNNNNNNNNNNNNNNNNNNNNNNNNNNNNNNNNNNNNNNNNNNNNNNNNNNNNNNNNNNNNNNNNNNNNNNNNNNNNNNNNNNNNNNNNNNNNNNNNNNNNNNNNNNNNNNNNNNNNNNNNNNNNNNNNNNNNNNNNNNNNNNNNNNNNNNNNNNNNNNNNNNNNNNNNNNNNNNNNNNNNNNNNNNNNNNNNNNNNNNNNNNNNNNNNNNNNNNNNNNNNNNNNNNNNNNNNNNNNNNNNNNNNNNNNNNNNNNNNNNNNNNNNNNNNNNNNNNNNNNNNNNNNNNNNNNNNNNNNNNNNNNNNNNNNNNNNNNNNNNNNNNNNNNNNNNNNNNNNNNNNNNNNNNNNNNNNNNNNNNNNNNNNNNNNNNNNNNNNNNNNNNNNNNNNNNNNNNNNNNNNNNNNNNNNNNNNNNNNNNNNNNNNNNNNNNNNNNNNNNNNNNNNNNNNNNNNNNNNNNNNNNNNNNNNNNNNNNNNNNNNNNNNNNNNNNNNNNNNNNNNNNNNNNNNNNNNNNNNNNNNNNNNNNNNNNNNNNNNNNNNNNNNNNNNNNNNNNNNNNNNNNNNNNNNNNNNNNNNNNNNNNNNNNNNNNNNNNNNNNNNNNNNNNNNNNNNNNNNNNNNNNNNNNNNNNNNNNNNNNNNNNNNNNNNNNNNNNNNNNNNNNNNNNNNNNNNNNNNNNNNNNNNNNNNNNNNNNNNNNNNNNNNNNNNNNNNNNNNNNNNNNNNNNNNNNNNNNNNNNNNNNNNNNNNNNNNNNNNNNNNNNNNNNNNNNNNNNNNNNNNNNNNNNNNNNNNNNNNNNNNNNNNNNNNNNNNNNNNNNNNNNNNNNNNNNNNNNNNNNNNNNNNNNNNNNNNNNNNNNNNNNNNNNNNNNNNNNNNNNNNNNNNNNNNNNNNNNNNNNNNNNNNNNNNNNNNNNNNNNNNNNNNNNNNNNNNNNNNNNNNNNNNNNNNNNNNNNNNNNNNNNNNNNNNNNNNNNNNNNNNNNNNNNNNNNNNNNNNNNNNNNNNNNNNNNNNNNNNNNNNNNNNAAAAAACUAUAAAUGGAAUAUAAAAUUAAUGGAAUGAGUUGGAAAUUAUUAUUUUCAAAUACUAAGAAAAUUAUUUAAAAAAUCAAAUGAAGUAAAUUUAUGAAUGGAAAAAAUUGAGAUUAGAGAAAGAAUUUGGAAUUGGAUGUAAGAAAAUAAAAAAUAAACAAUAGAUAAUUCCAAUAUUAAGGAAAAUAAAGCAAUAGAAAAAAUAAUGAACUAUGGAAAUUUGAGAGAAUUUUGAUUGAGAAUAAGAGAAGAGUUGAGAUAUAAUUGGUUGUGAAAUAAAAAGUCAUCAACUCAUCAUAUUUAUACAUGUUUCUCAUUUAUUAGUUUCCCAAAUUGUCCCUUAUAACAGAAAAAUAACAGCUAUAUUUUUGGAUAAUUUAGUAAAUUACAGUAAAUAAAUAAAUAAAUGAUUAAAAAAUAAAUAAAAUUUAUUUACCAAAAAAUAAAUAAAAACCACCUAUCAUAUAAAAAAUUAUCCGUUACACUCUUUUUUUUUUACAGUUGAAAGUAUUUUUUUUUCACCACUUUUUAUAACUUAUAUAUCAUUUUACUUCUUUUCACUAUAAAUCAAAUCAAGUGAUAUAAAUUUUUUUAUAAAAAUUUUAAGCUACAAUUUUUUGUGCAUCCGGUUCGAACGGGACCGGAACCGCCGGUUCCGGUUCAUAUUUUAACAUUGACAUGAAUCUUAACCGGCCCUUGAACCGUCGGUUUCUGUUCGAUUUCAAUUCGUCAACAGUACGGUUCGAUUCCGAUUAGAAUCGAACCGGUGGCAUGCCUACUACUUCCGAUCUAAGAUUAUUUAUUUAGUUUUAGAUGUAGCGUAUUUUUAAUUUUUUAUUACAGGUUCUUGUAAUAUACCUUGGAAAAAAAAAAAAGAACUUAAAAAACUAGUGCGUCUGACGCCGUAUUCUCUGUUUGGUCACUGAGUUGUCAAUUUGUUGAGGCAUGGUAAACCUGGCAUUAUAUAAACCAUAAAGGACCAAUAAGUAAUUCCGUACCAUCGCAAUCCAAAACCAAAAGGGGAAGGGUCUUCACGGAACCCCUAUAAAUAUCACAAUUUCCUCAAUUUCUCUCAUUUUUUCCGGUUUCACCUUUGUCCUUCCUCUUUCCCGCUCUCUCAAGGGUUAGGGUUUCUCUUUUUCCAAAAUUUCAAUCACAGUAACAAUGUCGACAUCCAAGAAAGUCACUCUCAAAUCGUCCGACGGCGAGACUUUUGAGGUGGAGGAAGCGGUGGCGGUAGAGUCGCAGACUAUAAAACACAUGAUCGAGGAUGACUGCGCCGACACUGAGAUACCGUUGCCUAACGUGACCAGCAAGAUCUUGGCUAAGGUCAUCGAAUACUGCAAGAAGCAUGUCGAGGCCGCCACUGCUGAUAAGGACAAGGAUAAGUCCUCCUCUGAUGAGGCUCUCACGACUUGGGACGCCGAUUUUGUCAAGGUUGACCAGAAUACCCUUUUUGAUCUCAUCCUGGUAAGCUUUUACUUUUCUUUUUAUUUCUUGCCUAGCUUUCACUUUCUUAUUUCUAAUCUUGAAUAAUUUGCUGUCUCUCUUAAUUGUGUGUUAUUUCUUCGAAUGAUACAGUAAGUUUUACUGACGUUGAAUAAUUUUACAAAUUCUCCUCAUAUUGAUUUGUGUUCGUUUUUUGUUUGUUGUGUUGCACUUAUGAGCCUAGAUGUUUGUGAGCACUUAGGUGAAAUUCAGGAUAUUAAUAAUCCGAUUAUGGUUUUUUUUUUUAGAUUAUCAGAAACUGGGUCUUAUUUGCAGUUAGAAUAUAUCUACGGGUAAUGGGUAGAUUAUCCAUACAAUUAGAGACGGGACUCAUUUGCGUUUUAUGUUAUAUGUUCAUUAUAUAAUUGCAAUUUUGUAAACUUUGUAAAUGGUUUGGGAUUCUGAUGAUAUUAAUGUUAUAUAGAAAAUAUAGUUUGGUGGAUUUCUUGUUGAUUGUACCUUUCUAUAUAUUGAUAGCUUCUGCUUUACUGUGUUUUUUAGUAAUAAACUAUGAAACAUGAACCUGAUUUCAAGUCAUGUGCUAGGAAAGGUGAUCUUUAUGUGUGGGGCUUUUACAUGGGUAACUGCCUUCUUUUUGACUUUUCUUUUAUAUGAUUCUGCUUUAUAGCCUUUUCUGUUUAAUUUGCUUUUUUGCUCACCUACUUUUAUCUAUUUGUGCAGAAUAUGUCUUUUACUUUGUGUAUUGUGUGUUAUCUUUCGUCGUCCUCGUUAAAGAUGAGUUGCAAUCACUCAUUUCUAAUUAUUUUUGCAGGCUGCUAACUAUUUGAACAUCAAGAGUUUACUAGAUUUGACUUGCCAGACUGUGGCUGACAUGAUCAAAGGGAAGACUCCGGAGGAGAUUCGCAAGACAUUCAACAUUAAGAAUGAUUUCACCCCAGAGGAAGAAGAGGAGGUUCGAAGGGAGAAUCAGUGGGCAUUUGAAUGAUGAAUGUAAAAUGUCCUUGCAAUGUGCAUAUGAUGGUAUGAUGAUAGGAAUGUCGAUAUACGAUAGGAUGCUGUUUUUGUUCUGUGUCUCUUAAUGUGGAGGAUGAUUGGAAAUUUCCUUUUUAUGGUUGACAGCAUGUUUCUUUGAACACCUUAUUCUAAUGUAAUAGAGUUGAUAUCUAAAUGUGCAUGUCUCAGUUGAUUAUUUUUUUUCGUUGCUUUGCUUUCUUCCUUCAGCUGGUUGCUAUGCAUUAUGAUAAUUGCAAAUUUUGUUCCUGACUGCUAAUUCACAGGAAUGUGAUUGUUCAAUGCAUGGUUUAGCUGAUGAUCAACACUAAGGAUGUAUUGUCUGCUUCUUUAAUUGCUGUCAUUUCUUGCUCGAAUAUGACAGGGUAUAUCAUAUGAAAUAGAUUUUUGAUUAAUCGUGCAAUUUACAUAGGAUAUAAUCAAUUGUAAAAUCAAUAGUUGCUUAUGAAAUAUUUAUUAUUUUUAUUGUAAACAAGGAAAUAUUGAAAGAAUAUCAUUUAUUACUUUUUGAAAUAUACAAAAUGACUUAUAUUUUGAAUCAAAAUAAUAAAUUAAAAAUGAUUUAUAUUUCGGAACAGAGAGAGUAAUCUAUAACUGCCAUCAAUCAAUAUCAACCGUUGAACUAAGUAGACCCAUAGUCUUUAUUGGUUUCAUUCAUUGCUCUUCGCCCCUUCUAGUCUUUAUUUUCUCUUUGGAACCAAUUCAGUUGUUUCCCCUUGUUUUAGGGGGGCCUAUUUUGGUAGAAUUGAGAGAUUCUUAAUAUCUUUUAACCAGUCUAAGGAUUUAUACGAUGAUGGUACAAAAAAAUUGCUUGGAUAUUUCCAUUUGAAGUUUAGAUGUUUUGGUACUAUGAAAGAUUGUUACUCGACUUAUUCCCUCCAUUCCGUUCGAAUUUGAAUGUUCUUAAUUUUUCAUAAGAAUUAAUGUUUAAAUCACCUUAAUUUUAAAAAAAAUAAAAAUAAUUAACUACUUUUUAAUUAAUGCUUAUUUAAUUGAAACAAAAUUUAUUGUAGGAAUUUUUUUUAGAAUAAAAUUUAUUAUAGAUAUUUAGACAAGAAUAAGUUGAAAUAAAAUAAUUAAUGAAAUAAAAUAAUUAAUGCUAUUUUGAUUUUCUAAAAGUGUAAUCUAAUACUACCUUCGUUCCAUAAUACUUGUUACAUUUGUGGUUUCAAGAAAUAAUAAAUAUCUUUCCAUGUUUACCCUUUGUAUAUGGCAAUAAUUAUUAUUUUAAUUUAAUGGUUUUUUUUUGAAAAAAUUAACAUUAAAUUAAGGAUAAUAUAGUCAAUUUACUCAAUAAUUGAUUAUAACUUAGACAAAUUUAAUGUUUUUCUUAAGGAAUGUGAAAUUCCAAAUGUUACAACUUCCUUUGUCCUAUUUAUAUAGAGAAUGUCAAAAUUUCUCUAGAAUUAAUGAGGUGGUCUUUUUGUGAAAUUCUUCCUAAUUUACCCCUAAAAAGAUAUUGAAGUGGUCCCCAAAUUUCAAUAAAAGGUGAUAAAUGAUGAGAGAGAGGAUAUGCUGCUUAAAUAAAGCAUUUUAUUUGUUUAGACUUUCAAUUGCAAAAAAAUGUAGGCCGAUUAAUUGCAAUUGCACACUAAAAUUUCAUUAUUAAAUUUGGCUUGAAAAAAUUAGCGUGGAAGUUGAAAGAAAGUUUGAAGCCAAAAUUUUCUACUUUAAAUUCUUUAUUUUGCUUCUCCAAAUUAACGUAUAAAAAAGUGAAAUUUUAAGUCAAAAGUUUUCAAAACUGAGUGAGUUCACAAUUUUAAAAUUUAAUCCACCAAUAUCAUGGACACAAUCCUUCAUUUUGAUUUGAAUACGGUCCCUCAAUAUUUGCUUGCAACUUCAGAAGAUGUGCCCAUAUUCAACAAUCAACCCUUAGAUUUGAUCUCCUUGUCAUUCACUCAAUAACCGCCUUCUAUAGAAUCUGAAACCACACCACCACCAAGUAACGUUCCAGAAGAGGUUCGAAAAGACAACAAAAGGAAAAACAUCAUUGAAAAUGUGAAAAAUACAGUUUGUAUAUUACUAUUUUCUGAAACUGAAAAGGGCGAGUCAAAUGCUCACAGUAUUCGUAAAGUUGCAGACAUUUUAUCCAUAUCUACUAAGACAAUUUACAGAAUUUGGCAUAACGUAAAAAAUAAUAAUUAUUUUUAUUUAAGCAAUGAAAUUAUGGUUUAGAUUUUGUAUCUCUUUCUUUAGCCAUUUAAGGAGUUCAUGAGAGUAAAUAUAAAUUGCCACAAAUAUUUUUAUUUAAGCACUGUCGUUUGGAGGAAAAUUUUCCUUCAUUCAGGAGCUGUGAGUAAAUUGCACUGUAUGUGCACACUUAAAUGUUAAGCAUAAGCUUCUUAGUGAAAUUUAGUCUGUGUGCAUAAUGUGCUUGAAUCCCAUAUUUUCUUAAUGCACAGUUCAGUCAAUUUUUGAACAUUAAAUGUCAACCACAAUAAUGUCUGCCACUUUCUUAAAAUACUAUUAAAGUAAAUGUUUAAUCUAUAAACUAAAGCAAGAGCAUAUUGGAUUUUUUGCUUUGGCAUUAGUCCCAAAUUACCAUAUUUGGAAAAUUUCUCUAUAUAAAUAGAACGUUCCAAAAGGAAAUUUUCUCUAUAUAAAUAGAAUGGAGGGAGUAUUAUAGAACAGAGGUAGUAAUAGUAAAUCAUAAAUUCUAACAGAUUUUUACUUUUAAAACUUUCAAAAAGAAAAAAAAAACUUUCAUUCAAAUCAAAAUCCUCAUUAUACUAUCUCUGUUCGAUAAUACUUGUCACAUUUAGAAUUUCACUUUUGUUAAAAAAAUAUUAAAUUUUUCCAAGUUACAAUAAAUUAUUGAGUAAAUUGAUUAUAUUACCCCUAAUUUAAUACUAAUUCUCCAAGAAAACCAUUAAAUUGAAAUAAUAGUUAUUGGUUAUAUACAAAGGGUAAACAUGAAAAAAAUAUUUAUUACUCUUUGAAACCACAAAUAUGACAAGUAUCUUGGAACAAAUUAUUUUCUCAAAUGUGACAAGUAUUAUGGAACAGAACAUUUAAUUUUAUGUAUAUGAGAAUCUGUUUCAUUUUUGCAACUAACUUUCAAAUGUUUUUUUACUAUAUAUAUAUAUAUAUAUAUAUAUAUAUAUAUAUAUAUAGAAACACCCCGAAUUUUUAUUUUUGAAACCUUUGAAUUUUUAUUAAAUUAAAAAUCAGAAAUUUUGACUAUGUGGGCUACGAAUAGAAUAUAGUCUCGAUUCGAGCUCAAAUUUGCCAGCUCAGCCCAAGCCCAAAAAUAUAUUAUCGGAAUCUUCGAUACAUUUAAUUUUAUGUAUAUGAGAAUCUGUUUCAUUUUUGCAACUAACUUUCAAAUGUUUUUUUACUAUAUAUAUAUAUAUAUAUAUAUAUAUAUAUAUAUAUAUAUAUAUAUAGACACACCCCGCGUUUUUUUUUAUCCAAAAAUCAAGUAUCAUUAUUAUUAUUGUUUUUAUUGUUAUGGAGUAAAAUGGAGAAAUGUUAUGGAAUCUAACUAAAUUAAUCAAAAUAAAUCGAACCGGGCCCGAAAUUCAAAUUUAUUUUUCGAAAACCACAUGAAUAACCUGAAAACCAAGUAAAAAAAACCUGCGAACCGAGCAAAAUCGAGCCAAAUCUUUGAAUCAGACCAAAUCGGUUCGAAUCGAACCGGAAUGAUCUAGAAAUCGACUUAGUUUCUUCUGUUCUUCCUCUCUUCUUCUUCUUCAGCACGCGCGACAGCCUCCUUCUCCUCCCUUUCCUUCUCAUUUCCGACCCUCGCUCGACGAGAGCGAGGUGGCGAUCGCCUUCCCUGGGGCCUUUAAUCCAUUUUCCCGCCUCCUUCCCCGCUAGCAGAGCCUCCAGUGGCGCGAACGAGACUGUCCCCGUCGACAGUUCUCGUUCUUCGAUCUCUGGCGAUACCAGGCGAUUCUGGCAAUGUGAAGCUUCAAGGUGAGCUCUGAUUGAUUCCUCUGUCUUGUGUGAACAAUUCCCAUCCAAGAAACGACGGUUUUGGUGGAAGGAACUGGAACCGCCAUGAAUAGCGGUAAGGGGCUGCUAUCAAGCUCGUUUCGACCAACUAGAGGGUUGAUCUCACUAAACCAACGCCGGAAAUGGAAUCCUUGCUGAAUUUCAAGUUGAAUGGUAUGAUCGUGGCGAAUUUCUGGGCAUUAUUGAUUUUCUGGCCACUGUAAACGGCGGAGGCGACUGCGUUCCGGUGACCGGCCGGCGAGACUCCGGCGAGGCACCAAGGACAGAAUUUUCCUCUCUUCGCGAGGAUUGUGGAAUCGUCACCCAAAUUUCAAUCGGUACGUUCUAAGACCAAUUUCCUAUUUUUGGUAUAAAUGCUUAAACUUAAUACUUAUUAGUUGAUUAAAUUAAAUUUGAAUGAAUAAUCAAUCAAAUAUAAUUUUUGCUAAGAAUCAAUCGAUAUAAUGUGGAUGCAAAUUAGUUCUGCAUAUUGUUAUAUAUAUUUCAUGAACAUUAGUUACAACUAGAAGGUUCGGUAUUAAGAUAAGAAUUCCUAGCUAAUAUUUAUGUAAGCUAAUUUAGGAAUUUUAAUAAAUAUUGGUAGGGGAGAGUUAUAAUUUAAGGCUUAGACAAGUAAAUAGUUUUAAAGCAAUUAAUAAUAUCAUUGAAUCAUGCUUGGAGGUUAAUAUAGUUUGUUAAUUAGUUAAUUUGGAACNNNNNNNNNNNNNNNNNNNNNNNNNNNNNNNNNNNNNNNNNNNNNNNNNNNNNNNNNNNNNNNNNNNNNNNNNNNNNNNNNNNNNNNNNNNNNNNNNNNUGGGUUGUGUGAAUUGAUUGAUCGAAUAAUUGAUAAAUAAGGUUAUGGCGGACGGGAUGAGUUGAUUUGAAUUGACCGACGGAUGGGCUUAGAUAUUAUAUUGUUGAAUUGUGGUUUAGUCAAAUUUUAGGGGAGGUGCUGCCGAAAUUUCAAUAGAAUCUAGACUAGUUUUAAUUAAUGACAUAAUUAAUAAGUUUAUUUAGAUUAAUUCUAUAACUUAAUACAUAAUAAAUAGAGUGCACUGAUUAUUUAUUAUCUUUAUUAUUCAUUUAAUUAUUUAAUUAUUUAUUUAUUUGCAUUGAUUUUGGAUGUUUAAUUAUGCAUUGCAUUACGAUGUUUAAUUGAUUAAUAUGUCUGCAUUUGAUUGCAAUGUUGGAUUAAUUGUGUUGUGAUAAUGCUAUGCUUUAUUUAUGUGGAAUUGGGAUGAAGUGGGUCACCAUGGGUUUGUGAGACCGUUACUGUUAUAUGGAUCCUGAUUACCGUUACCGUUAUAUACCGUUACUGUUAUAUGGAUCCAUUACCGUUAGCCGGGUAAAUGGCAGAUCGGCGCCCCCGUGUGCACCUACCGUUACCGUUACCGUUAACCAUAGGAUGACUGCUUGUUGUUGCGCACCUGAAAAUCUAGAUUUGAUCGCAGCCCGCAGGGUGGNNNNNNNNNNNNNNNNNNNNNNNNNNNNNNNNNNNNNNNNNNNNNNNNNNNNNNNNNNNNNNNNNNNNNNNNNNNNNNNNNNNNGGCCAGUAUGGGGGAUCGGCUCCCUAGUGCACAUGUGAGUGGAUGAGCCAUGUGGGAGGACGACUCAUCGGGGUUUCGGUGACACCGCUGACUAAUUUCCACGUGAUGUGAUUACAUGAAGAUGUUAACGAUUGUGGGUGCUGAUAAUAUGCAAUUUGUGUGAAUUCAUGUGUUGUGAAAUAGGUAUUCCUUCUUAGAAGGUUCACAUAUCUUGUUUAAUUUUUCAGGAAGUAAGUUUCUCUUCAAUUCGGUUAAGUUAUGUUCCUUUGCGCAGGGCUAGAAGAAAAUUUUUCCAGUUUCAUAAUUAUUUUGCUAUGUAAUUAUAUGUAUAAAAAACUAUGUAUACCAAAUAGUUAGUGACUCCGCAGUUGUAGAAUUUNNNNNNNNNNNNNNNNNNNNNNNNNNNNNNNNNNNNNNNNCUCAAUAUUAUUAAAUAUAUAUAUAUAUAUAUAUAUAUAUAUAUAUAUCAUCAUUCAUGGUUAUGGGAUUACAGUAUAUCUGUUUUGCAACGAAGAGUAAAGCUUAAUUAAUUUUUUAAAUACUUGCCUAAAUCAUUAAGAGCAAUCAUCAAUUAUAAAUUGAUUGCUAAUAAUUUAGCUAAUUUAAUUUAUUAAAUAAAUUUAAAGCGAAAAUUUUAACUAAAAACACUAAUCAAUAUAUAUAUAUAUAAUCUUGAAAAAAAAAAGAAUUUGACUUGACUCUCUCCAUCGAUCCUUCCUAUUUUUCUUUUUCUACAAAUUUUUGAAUUUUCUACUUUAUUUUUUGAAAUUUUUGAUAGGAUGAUUCUUGUUAAUGUUUUUAUAAUAAUAAAAAUUAAUCUAAAAUUAUUGAAUUUUAAAAUUUUUGAAUUUUUUUUAUCUAAAUCUAUGUAGCUAUAUGUAUAUAUCUAUAAAUACCUCCCACUUUCAAUGAUUUUUUCACAAUGGUCUGUCUUCAUAUUGAUUUGUUGUUUCUUUAGAUUAUUUUACUUUCAAUUUUUUGAGUUUUGAUUGUACUAUAUAAAUUUUUAUUUUUUUAUUUUAAUAUAUAUUGUUAUUAUUGUUUUUCAGAUUUUGAAUUACAAAAAGACGAUAUUAGCAAUUUCAAUCGAUAUAUAUCAUGUCUCUUCUUCUUCAAUUAAGUACAAUAAAUUAUAUAAUAUAAAGUAUGUUUAAUAGUAAAUUUUUUCUUGGUCUAUGUAGUUUUUAAGUUUAUGAAUGAAAUGUCAAUAUUUAUUUAUUUAUUUAUUUAUUUAUUAUUAUUAUUAUUAUGUCAUUUCUUUUAUCUGUUUUAAUUAUUAGGUAGGAGAUUAUUAUUAUUUACAUAAAUUAAAAGAAAAAAACAUUAAAUCCAAUAAAUACAUUUAAAAUAACAAAGAGAGCUUAUAAGAUAACAUCUAAUAAAUUAAAAAAUAAUAAAUUUAAUACAUUAAAAAUAAAUUUAGUUACCAUUUAUAUUUAAAAUGAUAUUCUUAUAUCCUUAAAAUUUUGUUUUUAUUAUUUAAAUAUUAAAAAAUUAUUUUUAACAAUCAUAUUUUAAAAUUAAUAGUCAUUGACAAUAAUUAUCUAUAUCUAUAUCUAUAUUUUAAUUUUAAAUUUUGAACAUUUUUGUCUUUUAUUAGAUCACUUAAGAUACUUUUUCUAAGUGUAAAAUUUAAAAGUUUUACUUAUUUAAAAUAAUUAUUUAAUUUAUAUUUGAAUUUUGAAUAUUUUUAAUUUUAUGUUAUGUCUAUGUAUUUAUAACGAUUAUCUGUUUUUAUAUCUAUGUAUCUUCAUCACCAUCAUACUUGAAGAUGAUCAAUAAAAAAAAUUGCAAGUGAAAUAAUUUUAUUCAUCAUCACCAUCAUACUUGAAUAUGAUCAAUUUAAUUUUCUAGCAAUAAUUAUAUGGUACAAAUAUCAUUUAUUAUUUAAUAUUCACUUUAUGAUUUUAAUUUUUUUAAAAAUAAUAAAUAAACUUGGUUUUUCUUUUAUUUGCAGUUGCAAAAAGAUUUGAAUAAAAGAAAUCAUAUAAUCAAUUGCCAAAAUUAUAAUAAUUUGCUUAAGUUGAAAAAUGAACAUAAUUCAUGUUUUUUCUAAAAAAAAAAAAGCCUAAUAAAAAGCACAAAAAUUUAAUUUUAUUAACACACAUAACAGUAAUUGAUAACUCAUCUAAAUCUAUUUUAUAAAAGAAAAUCAAAUAUCCCACGCUGCAGGCCUUUAUCUAGUUAAAAUAAAAUUCUACAAACUGAAAAAGGCAAUUAUGAAAGUUAAAAGUUAGAACUUAGAACAAAAAUUUUCAAACAAUCAUCUGCUUUAUAUAUAUAUAUAAGCCUAAAAAUGAUCACUUUGAGAAAAAAAAAAUCAAGAAGGAAUGUGAAUAAUUUCUGCUACAAAUUAAUAUGGUUAAAAAACAAAUCUAAAUAUUUAAAAUCUAAAAUCUACGUACACAUAAUCAUUAAAUGAUUUUGUAAUGCAAUAAUAAAAGUAAAAAAGGACUAUUAGCAAAAUAAAAAAUAAUUUUUUUUUGUUAAAAAAAAAAAAAUUAAAGUCAGACAACCUGCCUGUGAUUAAUUAGACAAAUAUUAAUUGCCAAUUAUUAAGCAAAUAAACUAAAAAUGUCUCCUUAUAACUAACUCUCAAAACAACGACGAACCAAUUCUCAAAAGAAUCUAAACCCUAACUUUAAUUAACUAAAUAAUAAUUCAUAUUAAAAAAAAUUAACUAAAUAAUAACUAUCCAGUGAAGUCAUGCAUAUAGCUCUUGUAAAGUUCAGCGGCAGCUUUAGCAGCACAAAGACCAGCAGUAAGAUUAAUCUUAUCAUCUUCUAAUCUUCUGCACUCUAUUUCCAAAUCAUUCAUAUGCUUACCCAAUUGCUCGAUAACCGAGCUUUGCCUCCCAACUUCUGCAGAAAGAUUCUUACUCUCUUCUCUUAACUUUCUGCAACUCUUGACUUUCAUUCCAACAUUCUUUAUAGUAAUCUACUGAUGAUUCCACAAUCUGAAUCUUGUCCUCCAAAUCACUUUUCUCACUUAACGUUCUGUUAUAAUUUUUUUCAUAAUCACAAGCAGCACUGUAGUAAUACUGAUGAGCUGAAUUCGCUUCAGAAAGCUUGUCAUUAAGUUCAUUUUUCUCUUCUGCCCAUCUUUUUUGGGCUUCUGCAAAAUCUAACUCCAUUUGUUGAUAAUUUUCUAUUAACUGAUAAACAGAACCAAGCUUUUCAUGUAGUUCUUUUUUCUCCUCAUCAUCAUUUUCAUACUUUCUUGAAUUCUCUUCUUGAACUUGCUCCAACAUUUUUAGACUCUCUUGCAGUUUUUCUUUUUCUGUAGUUUCAUAUCUAAUAUCUGCAAUAAGUUUCUCUUUCUCUUCCACCAACUUAAGGAUUUGCACAUCACAGAAUUUAACUGAGACAUCAAAAUCCUUUUUCAUCUUUUUGAGUGCUUGCUCAAAGAUCCGUUUCUCCAUUGUCAAUUUCUUGAGGUCCAUUUCGAGAAAACCGCAUCCACAUUUCAAUUUAAUUAUUUCUUCGCCUUUUUGGUCCAGUAGUCCAGGUGGUUUCAGUUGUUCUUGUUCUUUUGCUUCUUUCACUUCUUUCUGGUCUGCUACAGUUGCUUUAAGUUCUAUCUUUGAUUCAUGUUUCGAAUUAUUCCUGUUUUGAGCCAUUUCUUGAAUUUUCUCCGAUGUCAACUCAGAUUUCUUUGCUCUUUCUUCCUUAUUCAAGUUCUGUACGUUUCUAAUUUUUCUAUUUUCCACCUCAUUAUUAACAAUAUAAUUUGAUAUGCGUUCCUUGAGAUAAUCCAAAUACACUUUCAUUGAUUCGAGAUGAGCUUUCUCUUUGGAUCUUUCUUUCCUAAUCUUCUCAGCUUCCUCUUUCGAUGCAGCCUCUUUGAUGAUCUCAGCUUUAUCUUUGGAUGGUUCCAUCUCGGUUUCAGUAUUCAAUUUCUUGAUUAGUUCUUGACUCUUAGUAGGAUCCUGCAAAACAUAUUCUGGAAAGUUAAUGGAUAUAUAAAUACUAUCAACAAUAACCAAGGAACUUGAUAUUAAUUCAUUCUAAAUUGAACAGCACUAAACUUGUAUUGUAUUUUGUAUGCCCCAACGAAAUAUAGUAUAGUCAGACAUUAUAUCAGGUUAUUUCAAGAACUUUUUUUAUCAGCAACAUAUAUAUGUAUACUAUUAAUUUAUAUCCAAGAAAAACUUAAUCAUUUUCAGUUUAUAAACCUAAGUUACCUAGUAAAUGCCAGAUAAAAAAAACCUAGAAAACCUCAAUUUACAUCAGAUUGGUUAUGUAAUUACUUAAUCAAAAACACUAAUUGAUAUCAAUGUCAACUCAUGAAAAAAAAAAAAAAAAGUUAACUUUUAACUUUUAGCAUUUUAUGAAAAACUACCUAAAUUAUUAAUAGCUAAACUCUAAUAAAAGCCGUGUUAGUUAAAUAUCUUUUAGCGUAAAAAAAAACUAAAAGCUAACUUUUAGAUGUUACGUUAGUAUUUUAUAAAAAAUUAAUUCCUGUAAAUAGAUAAAAAAACAGCUAAUUUUGCGAAAUAAAUCCAAUUUUAUUGUUGCAGACAAUAUCAAUACAAAGCAGUUACUCUAAUAUAUUGAGAUCAAUAGUCGAGCAAACAAGAAAUUGAUUAAUUAACUCUCUCUCUCUAUAUAUAUAAAUCAAUUACAGGAGAACUUACAUUAGGUUUAGCGGUAGCAAAUUUUUGGAGAAGGCCAUACGAAAGUAGUAUAUGAGAUAUAAUUAUUAUCACCAACGACGUAAAAGCGCCUAAACCCUUAACGUAAACCUCAAUAUCUCCAAAACAACAAUGAAAGAAUAACACAAAAUAGAUCAAAAACCGCGCAAAACAUAUUGUACUAGUACCAUUGGAACUCUGCAAAAGAAAGUUAAUUACUUAAGUAAUUAUCCAUAACUAAAAACGCAUAAUUUAAAUAAAAAAAACAAGCAGCUAUGAUCUUGAAAGGGAUGGGGGAAUACUCGCAAAAGAACCCUAAUUUGGAUACUCACAUAAGUAAUGACGAUGCCAAAGCAGAAAUUAGUGAAAACCAAGAAUGUUAUGGCCAAACGUAAUUGAACUGUAUAUUGACUUAGAGAAAUACAAAUAAAUUUUAAAAUUAUCAGUCGCUCAAUCCAGAAAAUUGCAGUGAAGGCUAUGUCAUCAAGUUUCGUGUCUUCUUCUCCUCUCUUAACAAUAUUGGCCAUUGUUUGUUUGCUUAGCGGAAAAGUAGCAAUACGAAAAAUAUGAUUAGGGUUUUAUGGUUUAUACAUAGGCUAUUAUAUUUUUCCUAUAUAUAGGGUAAUUUUUACAUAAUUUGUUAUGGUUUAGGAUUGGCUGAGAAUCAAAUCGGUACGUGAAUGGAUAAAGAGUUUAUUUUUUUAAAAAAUAGCAAUUAAUCUCAAUUAAUAAUUAAUAAUUAAUAAUUUUCAAACAAAACUGCAAUAGCUAAUAGCAAUGUUCUGUUCUUAUAGGGAAAGUAAUUUAGAUGGGUAUAGGAUGUAGAAUGAAUUUGGUGCUUGGAGGAUUUAUAGAAUCCAUUAAAGACUGAGUCCGUAUAGGUCAAAAUCUUAAUUCUUAAUUCGAAGAAAAAGAAUGGGGUGAUUACAGUGUGAAUUUAGACUUAAAAUUUUUAUGGAAAUCUUUCAUUCCUGCUGCUAAAGAAUAUAAAAAUAUUAGAGAAAUAGAAAAUAUAUAGAAUAAGAAAACAAAGAUAAUAAUUAGUCUGCCUAUGUAGUCUACAAGAAAGAAAAGAGGAGAACUUUGGUUUCCUUGGGUCACUGGCCAUCUGCCGGGAGUUUCGGAUUUAUGGCUUGGGUUAGCAAUGGGACACUCUAAUUGGUUUAAUUUAAAGUUUAUCAAGUGGUUUGGUUUGCGGACCAAUCAUUUCUCUCCACUCUCUUUGAAUUGAAUGUUACACUAUAAGUAAAAUAAUGUCACAAUAUCAGAAGCAAUAUAUUCCUAAGAAUAUAUUCUUUGACGAGAUUCCCACUGAAAGGUUCAAUUGUUACAUUAUAAGUUUAACAAUUUAUAGGUGAGAUUGUCACGCCACAGUUAACAAACAAAAUAUUAUUGUUAUUGUUACACUAUAAUUACAACUAUAGUGUUGCAACCUACAAAUAUAAAAUAUGUACUGUGUCAUUGUUAGUGUAAUAAUAUAUUUUGUUUACACCUCAACAAUUUGAUGCCAUGAAAGAGAUGUUUGUGGGGAAGAAAAAUAUUCUUGUAUUAGGCAUAAGAGGUAUAAGAACUAUAAAUUAUUAAAUGAAAAAAAAAUGUGUAAGAAGUGUAAAAGAGUAAAUUAUUAAAAGAAAGAAAUUUCUUUGUAAGUGCAAGAGAAUAUUUACUAUUCCACUAUUCUAAUCCGUGAAGCUUGGUAAAUUGUAAGUGUAUAUAAAGGAAAGAACAUUGCUUCUCCCAUUUAUCUACAUGAGGAGUGCUUUUCCCUUAGUCUCCCCUUCUUGCUUUGGUAAGGUUUAAUUUUUUUUUUUUUUGUUAAUAUAUUUUGUUACAUAUUUGUUAAUAUAUUAUGUUCAGAUAUGAAUAUGAGUGUUAUAAUAUACUUGUAAACUUAAAGAAUAUAUUCUUUCUGACACUGUGACAUUGUUUUAAUUAUAGUGCAACAUUCAACAAAAAGAGAGUAAAGAGAAUAUUGUUCUAUAAAACUGCUGGACAACAUUAAUAUAAAUUAAAAUUGAUUAUUUUUAUUGCAGUCAUAGUGUAAUAAUGCAUUUGUUAAAUUAUGACUAGAAUAAAAGCCUUUGAAAUGUCAACAAAACAUUGUUAUGAUAAAUAUCAAUAGUUCAUAAUAUAAAUUUAUGGAAAUUUAAACAUCUAAUUUCUACAAUUAAUGAGUUAAAGAUAGCAUAAUAAAAUUAUUUGAGAAAAAAAUUAAAUAAAAUCAAAAUUACCUUGUUUAUGCUCAAUAUUGAAUCACCUCUAUUUAUCUUCAAGACAAGCAACCGUAUCUUCUAUUAUCAACUUGCUGUAUAAAGUGGUUAGAAAUCAAAAGACACAUUAUAGUACUUACCCUUUCAUAAACUAAUGUGGUUAUGGAUUUAUAGCUAUUAAGGAAAAUAAAUUGGGCACGCUUCGCAUUUCAGUGACCUAGCAGCCAAAUUAUGUUAUGCUGUUUAACCUAGCUUUUUAACUACUGAUGGAAGAGCAUUUAGCAUCUCAAAGGGACCUAUAAAAUGCUAUCAUUGAAGUACGAGAAAAUAUCGGUCAAUUAGAGGUUACAAAGCUGACCCAACUGUAGGGUAGAGCAAACCGUUUGUUAAGUUCAAACCGAAAUCACAAAAUAUAAACCGAAGUUUCUUUAUAAUAAAUCAAACUGGAAAGAAUUUUUGUAAUGAAUCGAAUCAAUCGAACUGAAUCAAUCGGUUUGGUCUAUUUUUAUCGUUUUCACCGUUUCAGUUUUGUUCUAAAUCCAAUCACUGAAUAUUUAUGUAACCGAAUUGAACUGAACAAUAAAUUUGAUUCAAACCGAAUAAUCUGACUGACCGAACCUCUCUUGGGCAUCAGACCGAAUAAACCGAAAUGAGUCGGUUUGAUUUUCAAUUCGGUCCUACCGAUAAUUUUGCUCGCCUCUACACAUGAAAAUAUCCUUUUAACCUAAGAAGAUUAUAAUAUAUGUUUGACCCAAGAGAACGUGGGUCGACCUCGGCCGUUCUAUCAUUAUCUAGGCAGCCUACGGUUAGUUAAGUGGGUCAAGGAGCAAAUUGAUAUUUAGAGGACAUCAAUCAAUAUGGCCCAUCUAAAUUUAUAAUUAGACUUGGGCCAAGAUUAUGGAAGGCCUCCAAAGCAAAAGGAAUAUCUAAUAUAUGGUGCCUAUCCUGAAAAUUAUUAAGAAUAUCUUACAAAUUAACUUGAUCAAAUCUUUUUUUUUUCUUUUAAGAAACUUGAUCAAAUCUAAUAUUCUGAAAAUUUUCAAAUACAUUUUUUAUAUUAUUCUAUGCAUCUCUCUAUAACCUACGGGUUGUGACUCAGUUGGCAAUAUAGACUGAGCAGGUGGGAAGAGUUCGGGUUCGAUCCUCACUAAAUGCACUUGCAAUAGAAAUGUGAGAAACCUUAAUUGUGACUAAGUUCCGAGCUGGAAAAAGACAUCCUGAUGAUGGAGUCCGAAUACCGGUAAUUUAUUUUAAGAAAAAAUGCAUCUCCUAUAUGAUAAUCCUUCAUUAAUUUGUUAGACAUAUGAUUCUAUUGCUAGGGAAACUCAUUCUACAAUAACAGUAGCAACAUGUAGAAAUAAGUGUAAGUAACGAAAGUAAUAGCUAAAAUGAAUUAAGAACUUAACACUAAAAUAUUUAAAAACUUUUCAGAAAAAAAAAUUACUGCUCCGUUUAUUUCUGUAAACUAACUUACUGAAAAAUAUUUUUGUGGAAAACAUUUUCCUUGAAAAAUAUUUCUCAAAUAACUUAUUUUCUAUUAUUUGGUUAUAAUAUUGAAAAUUAGUUAAAAAUAUUAAAGUUUUUAUCUCAUAAGAUCAUAAAAGAUAUUAAUAAUAAUAGACAUUUUAUAAUUUAAAAAUUUUAUUGUUAAAUAUGAAAAGCAUGCAAAAAAAAAAUGUAAAUUAUGAAAGUCGUCGGUGGCUGGUGGUAAAUGAUGACUGGUGGUAGUGACUACGAUGAUUAAUAAAUUAAAAAAUAUAUAAAUAUAUAAGGUUUCCCAAUGUCCGAAAAAUGUUUUACUCUCUCAAAUAUGAGAAGUUAUUUCCUUAAAAAAUGACUUAAUUUUCCAUUGAUUAGGAAAACAUUUUCCAUUUACACAUUUUCCUGAAUACUCCAAACAAUGGAAAAUUGUAAAAAAUAUUUUCUGUAAAUUAUUUUACGAAAACAAACGGACCCUAACAUGAAAAAUAAUCUAAAUUUCACAGUCCAACAUGGCCUAUUUCGUUUUCCAAAUGAGCUAACUCAUAGAUGUUUUAAGUUUAUUAACUAUUUAAUAAUCAAAUAAUAAUUUGCUAAGUGAGGCAUAAUUUUCCAAAAAUAACUUAAGAAAGAACAUGAGUUAAUAAGAACUAAGAGAUCGUACAUGUCUUAGAUUAUCUAAUAUAAUUUGGAUUAGACAGAGGCUGUAAAAGGCAGGGACGAGAAAUUAAAAAAAAAUAAAGAAAUAAACAGAAAAAAAUAAAUAAUUUGUUUCAAGUUUGGUAGUUACAUUUUAGUGAUAUUAAAAUACUUUUUAAUUUAUUUUCAUUUUUAACUCUGUCAAGUGGUUGCAUUUUUCUAAAAACAAACACAUAAAUGCGUAAACUAAUUUAAUUUAGUGGUUAAAAUGCAUUUACUUACUUAAUCCUGGUGAUUGUAGAAUUGAGCCAUAGAAUUAAACAUUUUAAGACUCUAAACAAAAGAACAGGAGUGAGAGGAUAUCUUUAGUAGUAAAAAUAAACAAACAUAUACAGAAUAUAAAGAAUUUUAGCGGAAAAAAAAGAUCCAUAGACCCUUUUUAAUAUGUAGAUUGGUACUGUUAAUAAUUUUAUGAUGUUUGAUCAUAUGAAAUGAGAAAACAACAAUCACGUAUUAUUUUGUUACUUAGAUAAUAAACGAAUGGUUUUUGCUUGUGAAACAUCGUAACAUUAUAAUAGAAGAAUGCCUUAGGUUUCAUGCCGUAUGACAUACAUAGAAUAUUCACCGAGAAGUUCGCAAUUAAAAGAGAUAAUUUAUAUGAAUAAUAAUUAUAUAAUAAAUAUAAGUGACAAGAAUUCCUUACAAAAAGAUAAUAAACUGUUAAAAUUAAAUUGCAAAAAUCUUCGACUAUUUUCAUUUACUGAAAUCUAUUCUUAAUAAUUUUAUUGUCAAUAUUAUCAAAUAUAUAUCUUUUAAGGGUAAAUCAUUAAAUAUACUCCAAACUUUACGUAUUGUAAUAAUUACACCUUAAAAUGAACUUAACCUCUCAGGCACCCCAAUUUAGGCAUGACCGGUUCAAAAUUUUUAAAAUGUUGAACCUGAACAAGUCCUUGAACAACCGGUUCCGACUCUGGCCGGGUCCGGUGCGGUUCCGUUGAACCGACUGUUCCGAUCAUGGUUUCCGGCGAUAUAUGUUUUUUUUUUAAAAAAAAAAAUCAGUUUUAACGUUACAUCUUUUUUUUUGAAAAUAUUAAUAUGAGUUUAAAAAAUAUUGGUAAAUUUUAUUUUAAAUAAAUUUUAGAAUACUCAUACUCAUAUAAGAAUAAAAUUAAUUAAUUUUACAAAAUAAUCAAAUAAGUUAUCACUUUAUUUUGUUCAAAUUUUAUUAAUUAAAUAAAUUAUAAGAAAAUUUUGAAAAAUGCUUCAAAAGAAUGUAAUUUUAAACUUAGUAAACAAUUUAAAAGGGUAAAAAAAAAAAAAGAGUUAAAAACAAUAUAAGUUUAGACUAAAUAUUUCUCUCUUUUUUCUACCAUUUUACUUUUUAGAUUUUUAACUUUUAAAGUAAAGUGUAUUUAAAAAAAAAAAAGAACUUAAGUAAAGUAUAUCAUGUAGUAAAAUAUUAUUGAGACUUUUAGAGAUGUAUAAAAUAGGCUAAGUGAUUAUUAUUUUGAAAAUAAAAAUAAAAAAUUUUCGGUUCAAAUCGAACUGAAACCGCCUAUUAACUGACGGUUCAGGUUUAGAUUUUAGCAUUGACAUGAACCUUAACCGGCCUUUGAACUGCCGGUUUCAGUUCAUCUACAGUACAGUUCGAUUUUGGUUCAAAAUGAAUCGGUGGCCAUUCCUACCCCAAUUGCAAACUUUUGUGAAAAUUGUACCCUAAUUUUAAUUUGGUCAAAAUUAAAUAAUAAAAUAAUAUUAUUAUGGGACCUAUAGUAACUACUUGGGUUGAAUUAACCAUGCCAUGGGUUAAGUGAAACAGAUUGUGUCACUUAAGGUUGGCUCCCUCACUCUCCUUAAUCUUUCUUUUCUUAACCACUCUUCUCCUUUACCUCACCUUUCCAACAAAACGACCAGUAACAUAGAAGAUCAAAGCACACAGCAAACUAUAAUUUUAAAUCAAACAGUAACACUAUGAACACAAAAGGGCACGAGUUAACCCUUUAGUGCUAUCAUAUAUGCUUCCCGAGCUAUUUUCUAGUCUCUCCUAAUAGUGACAACUUCGCCCUUGUCAUAUUAAAACUUCAUGGUGAGAUACUUGAUGCAUGUGGCCGCUUCCAAUUCAUAUACGGCUAGUCUUCCCAAUAUGACAUUGUAUCGAAAGUGAAUAUUUGCUACCAUGAACUCCAAUUUGAGUUUCCUUGAUGAGACUUCGGUUCUGAGCUCUAGAGUUAUGUCUAUAGAUCUAGACACUUGUACAGGUUUUCCUGCCAAGCCGACUAAAGGGGUUUGGAAAGUUUUAAGUUUCGCCUGGUCUAGUUUUAAAGCCUUGAACACUUCCAUGUUCAACAAGUUCAUUGCACUACCUCCAUCCACCAAGAUUCUUUUUACUAGAAAGUUUUCCAAAAUUCCCUCAAUUACUGGGGCAUCAUUGUGUGUGGUAUUUACAAGUUCACCGUCAGCCUCAGAGAAUGAUAUGGGCGGCCUAACACUUGGUUUUUGCUAGAGUAGAAUGGAAUAGAUUUUCCUGGCUCUCAUUUUCCUAGCUGAAUUACUGUCACCUCCCGUUGACCCACCAAAUAUGGUGUGGAUUGUGCCCAGGGUAUGACAUUCUUACACCUGCUUGUCCUUUUGUUCACUUUCUCUCCGAGCUCUCCCAACAAAUUACUUUAGUUUGCCUCUUUACACAAGGCAUUCUGUCUCUUUCUUUAAUUACCAGCAGGCUUCAAUCUCAUGGCCUACAUCGCUAUGGAACUCGCAAUACUUGCUCUUAUCUCGAUAGCUCGAGGUAUCCUCCUUUAUCUUUCUAGGAUAAUAGAACUGAAUUUGAUCGCAUUGUUCUCUUACCUGGGCCAAUAUUUCUGAAUGCAGUCUAUUCAAAUGGGUAAACUCCCGAUCUUGUUGUGGUUUGCCAUCUCUUGAGUAUCAUGUUCGAAUAGAGUAACUGGUUUGUGGGAACCAGAUGGACGACCUCCUUCGGGGCGAUCGUCUCCUUACCGGGGAUGGGUGUCUUUUGUGUCUAUACCUCUCUUCUUUGGGCGAUCUAUGCUGUUGUGCCUCAUAGACUUCAUCUAGUUUUGUGUAUUUGUGAGCUCGUGUCAUGAGUUUGGUGAAUGUUAAGGGAGGGUCUAUACUUAAACUCUCAAAUAACUUGUUGUACCUGCAAUUCUUUGCCUUGUCGCUAAUGGCCACCUUAUCAUUCAAGUUCUCCAUUUGUAUCGCCAUUCUUUAAAAUUUGGAUACGUAUUACCUUAGGGUCUCCCCCUCUUCUCUUUUUAAACUACAAAAGUUUGACAAUAUUUUUCUGGAUGGUACACAUGUUAUGAAACGAGCUCGAAAUGCUGUGGCUAACUGGGAGAAGUAAUGAACGGAUCAUGUUUUGAGUGCUUGAUACCACUCUUGAGCUGCUCCUUUCAGGGUAAUUGGGAAGACUUUGCAUAUUAGAUCCUCCAAGUUUAUUUGAAGGUUCGGAAGAUCGCCAGAUGGCUUUGGGGAUCGGUAGAUCCAUCAUAUGCUUGGAAAGUAAGAAGUUUGAACUUCAAUGGGAAGGCUACAACCAAAAUAUCAGCUGACAAGAGCGAGUCUUGUCGGAGACCAUAAUCCCCUGUUUCUUCUGUGUCUCUACACUCUCGAACUAAUUCUUUGACAACAUUCCGGAGAUUAGCUCCGUCCAAGAUUGGCUGAGUGUGACUUAGCUCUUAGUUGUUGAGGUUAGUCACACUAGGGUCUACUUCAGAUUCUGCCUCAUAGUAUCGAUCAAACAUUGAAUGACUUUAGUAUAUAGGCGAGGUUGGAGGGAGGCUAUGUUCUAGGUGGGGAGGGUUCACCAGCUUGGUGGGUGGUACUAGCUCGCUGCUUGGCUUAGGGUUCUUCAAGAGGCGUUUGGUGGUGAACUGUGAAUAAGCAUGAGCUAGAGCAACUGCUACCUGAAGAUCAGUGGUCAUUGGAGAGGUGAAUGUGGGUUGUUGGUUGAUCCCACCAUAGGUGUUGUCUUGGCCUUUCAUGUUGAGGCAUUCACUGUACUCGUUAGCCAUAGGAACCGAGAAAAACUAUAGGGAUUUUUUUUUAGAGUUUGAAUGUAUAUUCCACCGAUUCCACGGUCAGACUUUAAGGUGUAGUAAAUUGUGAAACCUUUCUUAGAGUAAAUUUGGAGUAUAUAUACACUAGGUCCAGGACAAUUGUAUUAGGAUAAGAAUUACGAAUCCUAUAUUAUCCAUUAAUUAGAAUUUAUUUGAAAAUGUAGUAUUAUUAUUUUAAUAUAUUUUAUUAUUGUAUGUUAAUAGAAACAAUGAAAGGAAAAAAAAAAAAAAAAGGAGACAAUGCUGUCAAUAAUCGCUCAACCAUACCUUUUAAAUCUCCACGCGGAUACCAGAAAAAAUGGGCUUAUCAUGCUAGUAAAUAAACAAAUAUCCAUUUUCUUAUUUGAUUUUGUACCCAUAACUCAAUCAUAAUGCUAUUGUUUCGAAAGAGAAUGCAUAGAAAAAGGAGUGCAAGGGAAUCAAAUCUUAAGGAAGCAGACCUGAUAUUCGAGAAGAGGAGAUUUGGAGAGAUGGAGAUUGAGAAGAAGAGGAAUAGUCUUUGUCUUAUCAAAAGGGUAUUUAAGUCUUUCACUCAGCAUUUAACGGUAAAAAUUGCUAAAAUUAAACUGAAGGACCAUUUAAUGAGACAGAACCAAAAGAAAAACAUGAGGAUGAGUUAAUUAAUUUUGUAAAAUCUCAGGAACGAAAUAAUUAUUUUUCCUUAAUUAACUUAUUAAAUACUACAAGUAAGUCAAAUUCUAUAAUUCAAAAAUAAUUCAUUAAACUCUGUAUAUUAUAAUGCAUCGAGAGAAAUUAAUAGUUAUUAAAUCAAGAAUUAAUAGACUAUGAAAGCCAAUAAUUAAAAAAGAAACGAAAUUACAAAGUUAAAUAGGAUUUUAAUUUUUUUAAAAAAAUAAUUAUUCAAAUAUUUUCCGUUUAUAAUUUCAAGGGGCCAUUUGCCUCUUGCCCAAAUGUGGCUCCGUUCAUGCUUAUUUUGUUAAAAUAAAAGUAGUUACACUGCUAUGGCGUUAGCAACAAUAGCUUUGAUAAUAAUCUUAUCCCUUUUUUAUAAUUUUAUAAAAAGAAUCAACGUCCUUCAAUUGAUUGAAAUAAGAAUAUAGUUUUAAAUUAGAAUCCAGAAACAAUGUAACUUUUAUUACCUAUCAAGAUUCCAUUUGUUUCUCAAAAAUAAUUUGUUUGAAAAUUAAUUUUUAAACUUUUAAUGAUUUGGUUACUUAAAUAAUUAAUUAAUGAAAUAUAUAUUCUUAAUUAAAUGAAAAACUCUUUUAAGAAAAAUAACUUAUUAUUUUUAAAAGAUAAAAAUAUUUUUUUAUGUUAACAAAUUUAUUAUAAUCUUAUAAAAACACAUUUAUUAAUUCAUUAAUUAUGAAUAUUCACCAUCACUAGUCACAGGCAAUUACUGGAUAUUAAUAAUUAAACUUUUUAUGCAUUUUUCUCAUAUUUAAUUCUAAAUAUUUAAAAUACCUAAUUUGUGCAAUUAUAAAUAUUUUAGAUUCUUAUAAAUUAAAAUUUUUAAUAUUUUUUAUUAGUUUUUAAUUCUACAACCAAUUAACAGAAAAUGAGUUAGUAAGAUAUUAAAUAUUCUUCAAGAAAUAUAUUUUACUUUGAAACAUAUUUUCAAAAAUAAAUUAUUUUCUAGCAACAUGCGGCUGUAAAAUUUUUAAUUUGAAAAGGAAACAGUAAUGGAAAUUAAAAACCACCCUUAGAGAAACCCAUGAGCUGCAUCAAGCAUGCAAUAAGCAUGGAAUAAAUGUCAAAUCCCACCGUCCAUAACAAAUCCACUAAAAUGACAUCCAAACCCAUCAUCGUACAAAAUGAAAUAUAAUAUAAAAACAUAAUAUUCCAUCCCCUAAUUAACAUCAUCAUAUUAUGUACGUACCAAUGACCAUACGAUACGAUUUAGAAUUUCGCAUCUAAUAUUACACGGUCCAAACCGCCCCAAUUCAUUAAUUUUAUUUAAUAAAUUUAAAAUAGAUGAGUGGAUUAAGACUGCGUUGAUAUUAGGUUUGAUUUUAUAAGAUCAACCAAAUCCCGAUUUAAAUUUAUUAAAAAUUUAAAAGAAAGAAGAAGAAAUCGAUUGGAUUUGAGACUCUCUAUGAACCUGUUUUGAUGACGUAGUUUGUUUACUUUUUGAUUAUAUUUGAUUCUUUGUGUAUAUACGACGUCACAUUAAUGGCACGAUGAAUGCAUGUUUCCUUUUCAUGCAUUUUGUUUGGACGUGUUUGGUUCAUUCAAUUCUUUGUUUUAGUUCAAUAAACCGGUGGUUUUUGGACUCUUGACGCUUUUAAAUCCGUCCUCGUAUUCGGAGCUUGCUGGUUUUGUUCUCAUUUCCAGUUACGACGCAAUUCUAAAAAUGCUCAGUUCCGGCCAGUCGUUGAAUCUUUUUCAGUCUUUCUUUUACUGGAAUCGAUCAGCCUAUUGAAUUGAUAAUCUUGAUAUAAUUUAAGUCAAGUCCAAUACCUUGAUUUCGAUAUUUUCAGAAUCAGAACUCUCAAAUUGAUUUUGAUCCAACUUACUAAAUUGAUUCUCAUACUAACCCGACCUGUGGCUAGUGUUAAUUUUGUUACUAAAAUAUAUAUAUAUAUAUAGCUUAUUGUUUAAAAAGAAAAAAGACUUAAUUUAAUAUAGGAGUUUUUUUUUUUUUCUAAAUUGAAAUCAAAUAAUCCUAAUUUUUUAGUUUCCUUUGUUUGGAUGGAUGAAAUGUGAUUCACGGAUUUGAAUGAUAUUUUUGCAAUGGAAUUAAGUUGUCUAAAUUCCAUCAUUAAUUAAAAAAAUAUGGUCUUAGAGAAAUUUUACCUAUUAAGGGGUUUUUUUUUUUCCUUCUAAAAUUGUAGAACUGAGGUUAUGAUUGGUAAAUUUCAUGAAUAUUUUUUCUCAACAAACAAAAGAAUUUGUUAAAUCUGUAAUAUUUAAAUUGUAUCAUUCAAAUUUUACUAAUCAAAGCAAUUUCAAAGUGCAUUUCUUAUAAUAAUAACUUCAACAAAUACCCGUGAUAACUUGGUCUAAUAGUUAAAGCACACUAGAUCUCACUAUGAUGAUCGCAUGGUCGAAUUGUGAAGUUGGCAUAUUAAAAAGGUCUUUUAAACAUAAUUGCUCUUCGGCGCAUAAGAAAGUAGUCUCUCGUCUAAUAUUAUAACGCCUUCUAUACUUACUAUGAUUACUUGCCUUUUUUUCAAAAAAAAAAAAAAAUUAUAUACACAUAUUGUUUUUAAAUAUAAUAUUAUGGCAAGGGAUUGAAUUACAUGGGGAAAAAAAAGUAGAAGAUUUAUAGGAUAAACAAUAUAAUAUUUACAGUUGCGCAUCCAAAAUUACACGGUCCAAACCGCCCCAUUCAUUAAUUUUAUUUAAUGAAAUUAAAAUAGAUAAGUAUAUUAAGACUCAAGAGAGUUAAAAAAAGAAAAGUUAAAAAAUGAUAAUAUAAAAAAAAGGCAAGUUAAGAGUUUGCCUUAAUAAUAAAAUGAAAAGUAAAAAUAUUACAGCGGUUUAUGAGCUGGCUUUAUUUAUAAUGAUAAGUAUGAUAUAUUAUCUCUGUUUUUAGUAAUGUAAUAUGAUAUGUUAUCUAAACGCAUGGAUAUGUUAUCUAAAUGCAUGCAUGUAAUUAUAUAUGUUAUUUUAUGAUGUGCUUAAUUUUUCUCGUGUUAUAGUCGUUCAUGUAAUUUUUUAUUUAUAUAAUAUUAAAAUAUUUUUAAUAGUGAUUAAUUUAUAUUGCAUUUUAUAUAUAUAAUAAUUUUUUUUGUUACAUGUCUUUCAAUGUAACAUUUAAUUAAAAAGAACCACUCAAAAAAAUAUUUAAUUAAAAAGAAAAUGAUACUUAUAUUAUAUUUUUAAAAUAACACUUUUUAUUUGUAUUCUCUUUGAGCUAUUGAUUCACUACAACGUGGAAAACAUCUGUUAAUUAGGUAAACUGAGUUGAUAUUAGGUUUGAUUUUGUAAGAUCAACCGAACCCCAAUUUAAACUUAUUAUAAGAAAGAAGAAGAAAUAGGAUUGGAGUUGAGAGUCCUUAAUAUGAACCUGUUUUGAUGACGUAGUUUAUUUACUUUUUGGUCGUAGUUGAUUCUUUUUGUGUACGUACAUAUACGCCAACGUCACGUCAAUAGCACGCAGAAUGCAUGUUUCCUUUUCAUGUAGUUUGUUUGGACGUGUUUGGUUCAUUCAAUUCGUUGUUUUAGUUCAAUAAACAGGUGCUUUUGGAUUGCUGAGGUUUUUAAUAAAUCCGGGUCGAACACCUUGAUUUCAGUAUUUUCAGAAUCAGAACUCCCCGAAUUGAUUUUUCUAAAUAUAGCAGUAAUAUAUUUUUCUAAAUUGAAAUCAAAGAAACCUAAUUUUUUAGUCUCUUUCAUCAAAUUGAAAAAACAAGCACUUAUUUUAAUUAAUAAAAUUUGAAAUCCAUGGAUUUGAAUGUUAUUUUUCAAUAGAAUUAAAUGGUUUAAAUUCAAUCAUUAACGACCAACAAAGUAUUGGUUAAGGUGGUAAGCAAUCUCGAUGUCCAUAAAGGUGUCAGAUUGUGACAUCCUUUUGUUCAAUUUCUACAUAUUUUCCAUGAAAUACUUUAUGAAUGAUGAAAAUCUAAUAAUAUAACGGAAGCAAAAUAUGGAGAUAUAUUAAUAUAUUUAAAAAAAAAAAACAGAAACAGACCAGUUGUAUUUCAUAAACCGCAAAGAUGGUGUUAUAAUUCUUCCAUUUGAGUUUUGGCUUCUCGAGGGCAAAGGCAUAUACAAAUUGUGAAAAGCUCUUGAUAGUGAAUGAGAGCUGGACGACACUAACCUAAAAUAUAGUUAUAUUAGCGGUGGUGUGAUAGUUUCACAGCACCUAAAACUAUGUUACUACCAACUAAAACGUCACGCUCUUCUUCCAAAUAUGCACCAACUUCAAAAAAUUUAUGAUAAAAACAAAGUUUAAACAACAUUCCUUUGAGCAUUUAUAAUUUAUACUUUUAUUUGGGUUAAUUAGGUAAUAUAUAUCUAUCCUUCCGAUGUCAUUAAUUAAAAUUAUUUAUACCGUUACUAACUUGGUGAAUUCGAGUGUAAUCUGAUUUAUUUUCUUCUUUUCUGUCAGAAUGUGAGAGAUUUUUUUAAAUCGAGAAUUUAAUGAGUCAAAGAGAGACCUAUUUAUUUUGGUUCAUUAAUUCUUAUAAUGAAUAAAAAAAAUAUACCCUCGAACAUGAUAAUCACACCAACGAUUAUAUGAAAAGAAAAAAUAAAUCUUUUUAAGUGAAUUCAAUGAAUACAUUUUGAUCAACAUGCUAAAAUAUAAAUAUCAAUAUUCUAACUUGUAAUGCCCUAGAUUUUUUUUAUUAUCUAAAAUAAAUAAUGCAAGUGACUAAAAUGGUUAUUCAAAUUGAUAAAAUUCUACUUAUUUUAAUUUGAGUUCAUGAAUAUAAUGCUUUUACUAUAAUGUAGAAUAAAAGAUUUCUGUAUUGAUACAGAACUCAAAUAAUAUGACACUUGUGCAUAAUAUAUAUAUAUAUAUAUAUAUAUAUAUAUAUAUAUAUAUAUAUAUAUUCUAUACCUGACGAGAUUGAAUUAAACGGAAAAAUUAAAAGAUUUAUAGAAUAAAAAAAAAAAAAAUUUACUGUAAGCUUUAAUUACAAAUGACUGAAAAAUAUUAAAAUUUAUAAAUUAAAUAAUAAAGAUAAAUCUUAUUAACAUAAAUUUAAUUUUCAAAAUUAUCUAAUUCUACUCAUUUAGAAAUAUUAACUCAAUUAAAAAUAAGUGAUCAACUUAAAUAACUCCUUGAAUUAUGGUUCAGCAAAUUAUAUUUACAUUAAUAAUCUCAAUUAUUAAUAUCUUUUUUGAUAUUAAUAUCAGAAGUUCAAAUUAUGAGUGUUUCAAGUAAUUGCAUUUAUAUUAUCGUUCUAAUUUAAAUUAUUCUUAUUUAUAAGAAGUUCUUAAUCUUAAUUAGUGCUAUAUUGUUUGAGAAAAGCGGGAUUCGAACCUGAAUCUAUUGUCGGAUCAUAUAUACACUUGCCAUUAGAAUAUGCUUUAGUGUGUAUGAUUAUAUUUCUAUAAUAUACUAUAAUAUAGAAACCAUAAUGUCUUGAAGUAACCAUAAUGUCUCUUGAUUGAAAAUUUUCCACCUGCAACUGGAAGAUGCUAGUAAAGAAUCUAUGCCUUCAUGUGUAAACUUGGCCGUUGAGACCUUUAUGUAAAAAGAAAGACUAGUGACAUUUUGACCGUAAUUUUUAAGGAUUAAACCUAUAAAAAUAUCCUCAAUGUAACAUCCCUUCCCGGUCCACCCAUUAACCCUAAUGAACCGAGCCGAGACGCUACAAUUUGGUUGAACCUAUGUCCUGUCAUGCUGAUAUCAUCCUGUAUGCUAAAUAUUAUGUCAUGUUUAACAUCACUCCCAAUUAAACUCCAAACUUCCAACAUCUCCAAAUAAUCAUCAUAACACAAUAACACUAUUAUAUUUUCAUAACUGUAUAAAUCCUCAAUAGUAUUGAAUAUCCAUCAAAUAAUUGCAUUCAUGACAUAUAUCAAGUCUUAAUGAACUAUUUAAAAUAUUUCAUAUUCAAUCAUUUAAUAAGUAUUAUUCUUCUCUCCAAAUACUUACGCCAAAAUAAUUACAUGCUUCAAUUAUAUUUCCAAUAACAUAAUCUCUACAAAUGUAAUAAUUAUACAUGCUAUAAUUCUUAAUUAUAUAAAUCUCAAUCUCCUACUACCAAAGUAGUCACUUCUGCUUUGAUAUUACUCUUCACAUCUUCAAGUAGCAACCACAAUCUUCAACCUACGCGUAAUAAAAAUCGACGCGCUGAGUAUAAAACUCAGUGGUGCUCAUAAUUCACAUACUUACCAAAGUUGCGAUGGCAACUUACUUAAAAUACAAAUUUCAUAAAAUCAUUGAUAAUCAUAGAAUCAUUAAAUUUCAACAUAAAUUUACAUCUAUAGCAAAGAAAUAUCAAAUAAUCAUAUAAUUAAUAACAUACAUAAUUUAGUUCUAAUUAUACCAGAAAUCCUUUACAUAACCAUUUAAUCACACAUAGCAUUAUAUUUUCAUGAUCUUACCUUAUGUUCCUUAUGCUGUAUGAAUUAAAGAAAUAAACAUGUAAGCCCUAUGCUGUAUGAAUUAAAUAAAUAAAUAUGUAAGCACACAUAACAUUAUUAUGACUUAUGUAAUUUUUAGUCAACAUCGUAUAAGUUAUAAAUAAUAAAAUCUCAUAACUGUAUGGCUCCAUAAGGUUAUAGUGAAACCUAAGUGAUAAGAAGAACUGUAUGAAACUGGAUGAAUACUGUAUGGCUGGGCUGCUAUGGCCCAUAUAUAAUCAUAUCCACUCAACGGCCUGUAGCCGGAGUAACAAACUGUAUGGGGCGCAGAUAUGCUAUUCUAUGUCGCGAUAUAGCCUUAUCUACAUGGUUUCUACUUAACCUCAAUGGAGCAUAUUAUCUGUAUGUCAUUAAUACAAUCAACAUAUUAACUUAUUCAUGAAAUGCAUAAACCAUACUGUUUAUCUGUAUGCUGUCUCAUUAUGUAUGUUGCUAACCUGUUUCAUGCUUUCAUGCUUUAAAAAGGAUGUCCUAGACAAUUAUCAGUAAUAUCUAAUGAGUAAUAAUGCAAACAAUUAAUCACUUGUAAAGGAACUUGCAUGGAAAUAAUUUGACUGUUGCACCCGCGACACAACUCUUACUAAUCUUUAUGUAACUUAAUUUAUACCAAUCAAAUUAACAAAAUUCUUGAUUUUAAUAUAAGUUAACUCAGAAGGUUAAAUUCAGUAAAUAUCUUAGGCUGAAUGAAUCUACAUAUGCAUCCCAACAUCAUGUCUAAUGUAGCCUUGAAAUCUGCUAAGGCUGCCUGUACAUGUUUUACAAAUACUAGCAUAACUCUGUCUUCAUAAGUCCAAUUUAGGUAAUUCAAAAUUCUAUGGUGAGCUAACACAUUAGGGUACAAAUAUGUCUUCUAGCAUAUCUCUUAAUUAUGUUAGUAACGUAGUCAAAUAUUGAGCUAAAGUAACAACUUCCAGUCUGCCCAGCUUUUGGUUUCCAGCCUGCACAGUUUAUACCAUUUUGGACAUAUCUUUUAAUUUAUAAGUCCAAUUUAGAUGAUUUCCAAGCUUAUGGAUAGCUAAAACAUAAAGGAACAAAUAACUCUUAUACCACUUCCUAAUUCCAUCGUUUUCGUUUCUCAAACCUAUGAUUCAAGACAUAGAAAAUAUUCAGCAUUAAAUAAACUUUGACCUUUGCUGAGUGUUUAAGACAUAUAAAUUGAGUUAUAGGGCUUUAAAUUAAAUGAAAUUAGAUUAAUUAGAAAGCUAAGACAAAUUUAUACAAAUUUUAUAAAGGGAUCACAACCCAGAUCAAUGUGUAAGAUGGUGAACAAAGACUAGGAACACAGACCAACAGUCUAGACCUGAUUCAGCAGAACCAAGUCAACUGUUUGUUGUAUUUCUACUUAUCCAAACACUAAAACUAAACCAAUCCAAAACCAGAGAAGUCUAAAGACAUAGGGUAACAACUCUCAUGAAGACCUUAGAACAUAUUCUUGCCAUUAUAGUUGUCAAAAUGGGCACUCAAGUCAGUGAUGCAUGUGGCCCGUCAUAACAGAGUCAGUUUGGGUGUUUUAGCCAUAAGUGGAGCUAUAUAUAUCCAAAUUGAACAUAAGAGGAUGGGUUGGAAAGCUAAGAAGUAGACCUACAACUUUCAUGAAGAACUCAGAUACAACUGGAAAAUAAAAAGGAUCGAUACAUAGUCUUUAAUGCCACCUAAUAACACUUUUUCCCAAUUUCAGCUUACUUAAAUCAUAUACAAGGUAAAGAUUUCUUCCACAUACUAAAUACUCAUCAAAUAUCAUCUUAAGAGCAUAAAUCAACAAAGGAUAACAAGAAAACUUAAGGCCUUAUUCAUCAAUAGGUUCUGCCGCUCUUGGAAGAUGAAGAAGAAAAUGUUUUCCUCAUCAAUUCAACAUAUAGGCAUGCUUAGAAAUCUCUCAAGAACACAUUUAUACCACCAAAAUUGAAUAAUCAAAUCAUUUCAUAUAAAAUUCCCAAUUUUCACAAAAUAGUAUCAACUUCACAAAAUUAAAAAUUUAAACAAGGUAAGAGUGUUUAUGAACACUUACCUCAAAAUCAAGCUUGGAACACCCCAAAAGUCACCAAAUCAAACUUGAGUCUUGCAUUUAGCCACCUUAGAUAGCUCACCUUUUAAUUACCCUUAAAAAUUCUGCACAUCUUUAAGCUCCAAUUCAAUAAUAACCUUGAAUCUUCAAGAGGAAGGUCUUGGUUGGAGUUCAUAUGGUCUAGUUAGAGUGAUUUUUUUGUGAGAAAUUGAAAACAAUAAGGAAGAGAAGGAGAGCAUAUGGUUCGGCCAAGGAAGAGAAGAAAGAAAGAAAUGGUUGCUCAAAUCAUUCACGUUGAAGAUAAAAAGAUGAAGAGAAAAUGGUUGCUCAAAUCAUUGAGCACAAGGGUAUUUUAGUCUUUUCUCAACAUAAUUGGAUGGCUACGAUUAAGUCAAUGGUAAUCUAAUCCAAUGGCUAAAAAUAUUCUCCAAUUUAUUUCCUUCAAAAUAUUAUUUCUCUCCACAAAAUUCUUAAAUUUAAUCCUUAAAAAUAAGUUCUCUUAUUCCCUUACUUAAUAUAACACCAUCUCUAUUUACUUCAUAAAAAUAUUGCAUCUAAGUUCCUUAAUUAAUAUAACACUAUAAUUAACUAUUCACUAAUUAUCUAACUUCUCCAAAAAUAUUCAUUACUUACUUUCUACCCAUAAAAAUAAUGUAUACAUACUCCAAAAAUAUUAAAGACAAUAUUAAACAUACAUAGUAAUUUUUUUCGGACCAAAAUAAUAUCGAUUUCCGGACUGGUGGCACUAUUCACACACUGGUAAACUUACUAUUUCAGACAAAGAAAAAUGGGGCGUUACACUCAAUUUUUCGAUUUUCUGUAUAAUCACUUUAUGUUACUUUUAUAUGCUGCGCGCAAUGACGAAGUCAGGAUUAUAAUACAAAUAAUGUAUAAUAGAUGAUUUAUCAUUUAAUAAAUUAUAUACUACACUUCUCUAUUUAAAAAAUUAUACAAAUAUUAUGAGGAAUGAAAAGUUUAAUCAAUAUAAAUAACAUCUUUUUCCUCUUCAAACAAACUCAAAAUUUAUUGAAUAACAAUUUCAUAAUAAAAGGUUCUUUCGCUCCAUAAAAAAUCAUUCUUUUGAUUUCAUAGUUAAAAACAUAUUUGGAUUGUUUAUGAAAGAAAUGAUAAGAUGAAUCUUAUUUUUAUAACAAUGUAACCAAAUUUAAACAAUUUAAAUGUUAAUAAUAUACAUUAAUUUAUUUAUAUAAUACGAUAAUAACAAAUGCAGAUUGUUCAAAUAAUAACUUGUUAACAAAAAAAAGUGCAUUUAUUAGAGGGCUUAACUCGUGUAGGAAUAAUUCCUCUUAACACCCUCUAAUAAAAUCCCACAUUUUAGGAGGAACUUCCAAAUGCCAUAUCUUUCCUAAUGAUCCCCCUGUAAACGUUCCCCCCCUCUCCCUAGCCAUUUCAACGCUACAUAGUAACUCGAUCUAACCCGAUACUCUCCCCUCCUAUCAAAGUGCCAAAUCAACUUAUCUUCUAGAUUAUUCACACCCAAAGGAAUAUUAAGAAUUGUCCUAAUGUCUCUUGCACUAAAUAACUCCACAAUUUCAUCAAAAUCCCAACCUCUCCUAUCAUUCGUUAUAAGAUCACACACUCUCAUAUCAAGUUCUAAAAAAUGAAUGACAUCCUCCACAUAAAAAGUAUCACUCUUGGGAAGUCAAGGAUCCUGUGUGACCAAAAUAUUCUCACCAUUCCCCACUCUCCACGUAACCCCUAACUUUAGCAUGUCCCUGACAAACAAGAUACUCCUCCAAGUAAAACUGAGAUUAUUCCCUAGUGAUGCAGAUAGAAAUCACCAUCCGGAAAAUAUUUAGCUUUGAGCGUACAAUAAAGAAGAGUAUUGGGUUCGGAUAAUAGUCUUCACCCUUACUUACCAAGCAUAGCAAUAUUAAAGCUAUACAAAUCUCUAAAACCCAUUCCCCCAUCCUUCUUGCUUUGACACAUCCUAUCGCAAGAAUACCAAUGGAUACCUUUAUUAUUCCCCCCUUUAGAACCCCACCAAUAAGAAUUCACAAUUUUUUGAAGAUCAUCACACAACGAUAAGGGAAGUAAGAACAUACUCAUACAAUAAGAUGGACAAGCUUGUGUGACAGACUUAAGUAAAAUCUCCCUACCUACUUUAGACAAGAGCUUAUUAGUCCAACAGUUAAUUCUACUCAAUAACUUGUCCUUUGAAAAAUUACAAAUAUGUUUCUUCCUUUUACUAAUUAGAGAAGGUAACCCCAAAUAUUUCUCCUCUCCUAAAGAAUUAUGAACUUCUAGGAUAUUGGACACAGACACUUUAACCAUACAUGAAACAUUAGGAUUAAACAUGAUCCUUGACUUCCUAAAAUUAACGGCUUGACCCGAAGCACUGUCAUAUUCAUCUAAAAUCUGCUUUACUCACCUACCCUCACUGUCUGAGGCCUUAAAAAAGAAAAACAAGUCAUCUACAAAUAAUAAAUGUGCCACCCUUGGACAUCUAACUCCAGCUCGACACCCAUGGAUCCAUCCUCUCUACUCAGCCUCCUUAAACAACGGGGAUAAACCUUCAGAACAAAUAAUAAAAAGGUAUGGUGAAAUAGGAUCUCCUUGUCUAAGACCCCUCUCUGGAAUAACAGGACCAACUACUUCCCCAUUACACAAGUAAGAGUACCACACAUUAGUCACACAUGCUGUCAUCCAAUCAAUCCAUUUGGUACUAAAACCCAAUCUACCCAUCAUAUCUUGCAGGAAAUUCCAAUUGACCCUAUCAUAGGCUUUAGUUAUAUCUAUUUUAAGAGUUGCCAUACCCGUACCUCCCCACGUUUCAUACUGUGAAGAAUUUCAAAGGCCACACCAAUAUUAUCCUGUAUUACUCUACCCAGCACAAAAGUAUAUUGGCUAUUCGAAAUAGUCAAUCUGAAGCAGAGCAAAUUUAGCAUUUAGUUUAUUGAAGAAGAAAAGGAAAAAUUAUAAAUAUUAAUCACGUGUAGAAUAGUUGUUUAAUCUAUCAAAAAGGAAAAAGAAAAACUAUUAAAAUAAAAAAUAUGUAGAAAAAAAAGAAAAAAAGAAACACUAUAAAAAUGGAUUAAAAAGAAAAUUUUAAAAUUAAUGGUAUAUAAAUUGGUCUUUUAAUUAACCAACAAGAAAAGCUAUUAAAAUAAAAAAUUAUGUAAAUAAAAUUUAAAAAGAAAAAGAAAAACUAUGAAAAAGGGAAAAGGAAAAGUAUAAAAUAACAGGGAGCAAAGAAAAAAAAUUAAUAAAAUUAUAUAUAAAUGGAAAAACAAAAAGUAUAAAAAGGGGAAAAAGCAGAAAUUGGAAAACUAAAAUAAUAAAAACCAGAAAAAAGAUCACAAUAAGUAGUUUCAAACAUUGGCUGACAAUAUAAACUCACAACAUUUUAGCCACUAUACCAAACUACACUACAUUUCCUUUCUACCACUAAAUUAUUUUAUAAAACAAUCCAGGGGCAUGGCCCCCUCCUCCCCUUCUCUCCACUCCCUCUGCUAUUGGUUGGGCAUAACUAUUUUGAAACUUAUAUAUAUUAGCACCACAAAUAUAAACAAAUAUUUAAAAUAAAAGAAAAAUGAUAUAAAACACAAGACAAGCCAAGAAUACUCUCAAGGAGAUCUCAAUUAAUAAAAAUUCAUUUUUAUUAAAUCUCAUAAAAUUAAAAAAUAUAUUGAAACAAACAAAUAAAAUUACAAUCUUGAUAUAGAUAUAGAAGAGUUUGUGAUAAAAUUAGAGGGCUUAGAGAAACUAAAUCCGUUGAUGAUGCAUAGAAGCUUCGAUGAAUAUGAAUUCAUUUAGGAUCUAUGGCAAGGUCAUGAUUCAAAGAUGGAUUGGAGAAAGAGGAAGAGAUGCCAAGGUUAAAGAGAGAGAAAGUGACUGAAUAAAUUGUGGACUUCAAAAACUGGCAUUUAAUGGUUGUGGGUUAAGCUUACCAAAGAUUAAGGCCUCGUUUGGUUCAAAUUCAUCUACUUUCCGAGGAGUUCACUUCCUAGAAAAUAAAGUUUCAAAGAAGUUACUUCUUGAAAAGUACAGUGUGAAUAUGUUUUGUUGAUAUAUUGAAUUCCCAAGAAAUAAAAUUGUGUUAAUGAAAUUUUACAUAUGAAAGGACAAUAAUACUCCUACCAUGAAUUUAAAUAUAAUAAUUGAAAUAAUUCAUUGAAAGCGCAAAAUGGAGAUUGUUAAAUUCUAAAGGUCAAGAAGUGUACUUCCUUAGGUUGAGGAGAGGAAGUAACUUCCUGUACGGACAAGAAGUUGAGCAAUUCAACUUUUCGAGAAGUUCUUUAUUUUUGGAAACCAAACAUAAUCAAAUGCAUCACUUUUCAGGAAGUUUAAGUUCCUGAUGUAACACCCUAUGCGAAUCUCACAUCGGCUAAACACAAGGUGUAAAUGAAACCCAUAAGAAUGGGCAAGUUUUAAACUAGCAAGAAGCCAUAAGGCAUGAGUUGGUUCGGCCAGAGUAAAUAGUAUCUUGCAAUGUUUAAGAUGGAUGUGAGUUGGUUUUAUCUUGGCAACUUGUAAAGAGGUUUUUUUGGCUAUUGUUGGUUGUAGCUCAAGAACAAACCCGUGCGGGCCUGAGUAAGUUCGGUCCAAAGCGGACUGUAUCUUGCUAGCUCAAACUUAUUCUAAAGCCUAGUCUUAACUCCAUAUUGGAGUGUUAAAUGCUAUAAUAUCUAAGUUUUAAAAUAGGAGUGCUUGGGAUACAUAAGUGCUAUAAUACCUAAGUUUUAAAAUGAGAGUGCUCGGGAUACAUAAGUAAAAAUAGAGUGAUUUCGCGAUAAGUUAAAAAAUUGAGAGUAUUUUGAUAGGUUUGUCCAUAUUUGAAGAUAAACUCAAAGUAGUAAUGUUUCUUUGAGAUUUUAUCAAUAUACAUUUCAUCUUUCUUCACAUUUCAAAUUUAAACAUUUUUCUCUUUAUUGUGUGGUCCAUUAAUAUUAUCAUUUUAUGGAGUAGCCAAUUCCCUUAACAAGAGGGCAACUAUUAAGGAUAGGCGAAUGAUAAGUUUCAAGAUUAUCAUUUUCCCCCCUAUCAGCAUAGAGUACUGUGUUUAUAAAGAUAAAACUUGCAUACGUCUGGUGUAUAGAUGGUCUUAUAUAUCAAACCAAUCAAAAAGUAGCAUUUUAAAAAAAUAUUACCGUUAUAUAUUUUUUUCCUGUACAUGAUCGUAAAUGGUUAAAUACUCUUAUUUUGAAUUAAAAUUCUAUAUGUGAUUAAUUUGAUGUACAAGUAAAUCUAUAUACUCGAUGUAGGUAAUUCUUUUCCGUAUUUAUAAAUUACCAUUGCAACAAUAUUUAUAGAUAAGUUUUCAUAUCCAUCAAUAUACUCACCUUUAUGUCCACCGCCUGCAUUACUCGUAUGUCAAUACAUUUUUUAAAAGAGUAGGCUUUUGCGGGGCUUCCCUUGUUAUUGAUUAAAUUUCACAUGAAAAGAAAUUAAAAAUUAAUAAAUAAUCUUUAUGUCUCACAUUAUAAAUCGUUUAAUAUUUUUACACGAAAAUUAAAAAACUAUGAGUAACUUUAUUCUAUCUAAUGUAAAUAAGAGUGAUAUUAAAAAAUUAUCAUUUAUUAUUCUUUAAAAUACUUAAAACGAUUUAUAUUUUGGGAUAUAAUGAUCACUCAAAAUGAUUUAUAUUUUGAAAUGGAGAGAGUAGUUAGUACUAGAAAUCAUUUUACCAAUCAAACCAUCAGCAUCAAACCUUUUAGUGUUUUGUUAAAUCAAAUGUAGUAAGGAAAAAAAAUAAUACGAUAACUUUAUUUGGUUCAAAUACUUGCCUUUUCUUGUUACAUUAUAUUGAAUGAACUUUAAGCAGAUAUAUGAAUAAUACAGGUAUUUGGCUUUCCAAUUCGUUGCUCUUUUCCUGAAAGAAGCCAAUUCUAAUUAAGGGUUGAUGGAAAUCCAAUUUUUUUGCCAUUUUAAAAUGAAAAAAAAAAUAAAACUAAAAAUUUUACAAAAUUUACAUAUAUUUUUAAAAUUUAUAAAUUUAUAAUUUUUGUAAAAAGUACAAUUUUAAAUUGAAAUAACAAAAUGAAAUUUAGUGGUUCUCUUUCUCUCCUGCAUGAUAAAAUGAUAUUGUUUUUUUUUUUUUUUUUUAAAAAAAAAAAAGAAAGUGAAUGCUAAAUUUAAGGCGGAACACAAAUAGAUGAUUCCAAAAGACACAAACACACUACCACUAUCUUUUCCGUGACCAAUAACAGACAGUCACGUAUUCAUGUGCCAAUCAGACGUAUGUCCUAAUCCAUCUUCUUCGCCUAUUUAAAGACAAAGGUCCUCUGUGUUCUGUGUUUAAAGAUGUCCCUUCGCUAAAUCAAAAGGCCGAGAUUUCGGCUCUAUAAAACUCGGAUAUUUCGCGACAUUUCGUUUCCUACGGUGUAAUGGCAAUGGCUGGCUAUGGGCUAUUGAAGAUCGAUGAAGGAGAGCUAAAGAGCAAUCGAAGAACAUCGCGUCUCGCUUCUCUUGAUGUCUUUCGCGGCAUCUCCAUUCUUGUGAGCUUUCUUUAGCUUUUCUUGUUUUCUUUUAAUUUAUGCCACGUUUUUGAUUGGUUGCUGAGAAAAUGCCAGAAAAUGAACCGCCGCAUGAAAAUAAUUCAAUGGAAAUUAAGCCAAAAAAAAAAAAAAAAAAGCUUCAUUUUCAGGUUUUAUUUCUCUUUGGCCUCUGUUUCCAUAUUUUUGUUAAUUUUAUGUUUUUGUUUUUUCUUUUAUUUAAAUAUUUUAAACAAACAUACAAAAAAGAACAGAGUUCAUCAUAUGAAAAAAAAAAAAAAAAUCUCAUUGAGUAUAAAUUUUUUUAAAAUAAUUUAAUAAUAUUUAUAUGAUGAGAUCCACUCCACCCUAUAUGAAAAUAAUCCACAUCAAUCUGAUCUGAAUAUGAAUUACUGGGUAUAAAAAUCAUAAAAUUUGAUUUUUAUUAUUUUUUUAUAAUAUUUUUGAAUAUAUAAUUUUUUACAAUUGUAUAAUAAUUAUAAAAACUAAAACAAUAAAUAUAUCCUAAAUUAAUUUAUUAGCGCUGUCCAACCACUUUUCAAAAUAGACUGAGUGCAGGAAUGUCCAACCGAAGCUUACCUUUCGUCCAAUCAACUUGUUAGUGGAUGAGAAAAGCAAACAUACGUUGCGUGCGUGCAUUUCGUAUAAUGCGCAAUGCAUAGCAUAAUUCGUUUGCUCUUUACGCAAUCUUUCUGACGUCAAAGUAACCUUCAGUUUUUGCAAACUGUCCGAAAAAAGCAUAGAAAUGCUCAUGGAAAAAAAUAUUUAUAUAUCUCCUUUCAAAUUGAAGACUUUUAAAAAAAUUCCAUAAAAUUUUGAUAAAUACUAUGAAUUUUAAUAUUCUCAAUCUGAAACUUUUUAUAAAAAAAAGAGAGAGAAAAAUUUGAAAUGACUUUCUGCUUUUCAAAAAUAUUCUGAUGUAUAUAAAUAUUUUGUUUUAUUAUUCAAACGAUAAUCUAUAUUUAAAUACAGCAAAUGAUUUCAGUAAAUUUAAAAUUUAAUCUAUAGAAGAACAUUUAUAAAAAAGAAAAAAAAGAAAAGUACAGGUUUUCAAAUGGCCCAACUCACACAUUAAUGGACUAAAUUUGAGAAACUGCACUUUGUACUUCAUAAUUUAUUUAUAGGCCCACCAACAGACCCCCAUACUUUAAUGCACACGUACGGUCUUAAUUGUUUCUCGGAAGUUACUUCAAUUAAUGAAUCGAAUAACAAUUCAAUAAAAUAUAAAAUAAUAUUAUUAUUAUGAAUAACAAGUCAAUAAAAAUAAGACACUUGUCAAAAGUGAUAUAUAAAUAAGAUUUAAUUAAUUCAUUAUUUCCAUCUCUAUUUCAUUUUAUUUUCAGUUUGCAUUAUUAUAUAUGAUAAGUGUCUUAUUUUUUAAAAAUUGUCGUUCCAACAUAUAAUGGUGACAUGGCAUCGGUGUUUUAUUAUAUAAUCAUUCAGAUCAUCAUCCUUAAAUUAUUUGAUCAUUUCAUAAAAAUUAUUAUUUUAUUAAUCAGUAAGUAUUAAUAAAAAGGUAAAAAUAUCCCUUAUUUUUUUAAAACAAUAUCCUUUAAAAUACUAUCUAAUCAUUCAUAUUUAAUAAUGUGAUCAUAUUAAUUUAACAAUAAAGGCAUGCGUUUUGGAUUGAGUUGUGGUUGAUUUAGUGAAUUUUUAAUUUAGGAACCAACCAAAGAAAGAGUUUAAUAAUUAAGAGAAAUUUCAAUCAUUAAAUAACAGUUCUCUAAGAAAAGUAUUCAUCUUAGUUGGUUUUUAGGAGUGUCAAAAUGGGUUUGCAGAUAGAUUUCGACAUAAACUCAUCUACCAUGCGACAUGAUUAGAAUCAACAUAAACACGAUCUGUUUAAUAAUUAUGCAAAAUUUUUAAAUAUAAACACAAAAUGCAAAUUAAAUGAAUGACACGAAUAUGACAUUUAUAAUCUGUUUAAUUAAAUAGAUCAUAUAUGAAUCCAAAAAUUCAACCAAACUUAAUUAAAUGAGUCAAAUACGGGUUAGAACAUAACACGUAUGCAUAUACAAUAUACUUAAUAUAUAUAUUAUAUAUAUUUUAAAUGGAUUAUACAUAUCGUGUUAUCACUCGUAUACGAGUGACUCAUAUAUAUAUAUAUUUGAGUCACUCGUAUACGGGUGAUAACACGAUAUGUAUAAUUCACUUAAAAUAUAUAUAAAUCACUUAUAUACAGAUCAAAACAUGACAUGUAUACAUGUAUAAUUCACUUAAUAUAUAUAUUUAUCGUAUUAUAUAUAAAUCACUAGUGUAUGCACGAAUUUAUUUGGGCUCAACUUUAUCGUGAUUAAUUUCUCUGUUAGGCAAAUCUAAUUUAUGCGUGUGAUAGCUGAUUUUAACAUCUCUACUUUUUAGAUUGCUUCAAUCAAUCAAAACCACAUAAUAUUUCCGUUUGAUUUUAUCGGAAGCAGGUUGGCAAGUGGACCCACAUAAUGUGUGGUGGUGGUCCAUAUGCUCUAAACGCUGGAUGGGACUUGGCUAUAACUGGUGUUAAUUUCUUGAUAUCUUUAAAAAAGAUUCCACGAUUGUUCUUAUACCCAGUGGCAAACAACAGUUACAUUACUCCUGCUGAACCCAAAACCUUACUACACUUCGUAUCUUACUAAAACAAAUUCUCUUUUGACCGCUUUAAAACGGACAGCACGCUCAGUACACACAGUCAAAAGGGCUACCCGCCACCCAGCCCUUUCCUUCCUUCGUCUUCUUCUCUGCAAAAGAAAAAACGCCAAACUUAUAAUAAUCAAAGCUACAAUAUUAAUCUUCCCUUAUACUUAUUCUCUUUCUUUCUUGUUUCUCAUUCUUUUCUCUCUCCUUAUAAAAUGGCUGACUUAGAAGUGCCUUUGCUGCUGCUGCAAUCGCCGCUCUCCGAUAACAAGCCCACGCGUGUUGCUUCUCUCGACGUCUUUCGCGGCCUCUGCGUCUUUGUAACUCUCCCUACUUACCUUUCGCUUUCUCGUCUUCGUUCUUCAGAUUCUCGUCCGAAUUACGUUUUACGGUUUCUUCUUCCUCAAUUUUCAACGUUUUUAUUAUUAUUAUAAGCAUUAUUUUAGUGCCUGAGCUGUUUGGUUUAAAUUUUAGGACUGUUUGGUUUAAAUUUUAGGAAAGAAAAGUUAGUUUUAACAAAAUUUCUAGCGUAACUUGUUUGUCUCAGAACCGAAAAAGUUGUUUAUGUUUGUUAUCAAUUUGGUGGCUACAGCUAAUGAUGAUUGUGGAUUAUCUGGGAUCGAUUUUUCCGAUCAUUGCUCAUUCUCCAUGGAAUGGCCUUCGCUUGGCGGAUUUUGUGAUGCCUUUCUUUCUUUUCAUAGCCGGAGUUUCUCUUGCACUUGUUUAUAAGGUAAGUAUACUACUAUAAUUAUUAUUACUUCAAAAGAAAUGCAUGUUUGCUUUAAUUAGGGAUUUUUAUAUUCUAAUUCUGUUUUAUGAAUAGAAAAUUGUUGAUUUUGACAAUUCAACGCAUUUUGUUAAUUAUCACUUCUGAUUCACUUGCUAAUUUUAUUUGGUUAAUAUUGGCUUUUAAUCUGAAAGUUCUGUUUUUAUCAGAAAGUAUCAGACAGAGUAGAUGCUACAUGGAAGGCAGUACUUAAGGCAGCAAAAUUGUUUUUCUUGGGUGUUUUUCUUCAAGGUGACACUGUCAGACAAUUGAAUUAUUGUUGUGGAUUUUAUAGCAGUAUAUAUCUAUAAUACUAUCGGGACAUACAUUUAAUUAGCAUACAUUUGUUAAAUUGUUCAUUUUUUUUCAGGUGGUUAUUUUCAUGGGAUAAAUUCAUUGGCUUAUGGUGUUGACAUCGAAAGAAUACGUUGGCUUGGCAUUCUGCAGGUACUCAAAAAUUUCUUUCUCCAUGUAUUAAUAUUUCCUUCCUCAAUACCCUUAUGCCAUGUUCGGAAAAUUAACUGUUUAUCUAUCCUAAUAGCUAUACUAAAGUAAUAUUGUUUCAUAAUACAUUCACUCAAACUCUAAGGUCAUCGAAUAGUAUUUCAAUAUUUAUUAAAACGCUAAAAGCUACAUAAAAAGUUAUCGUUGAACGGCCCUUACACCACAUGUCUAAAUUUUCACGAGUACAGAUUAAGUGAUUGUCAUUAAAGUAGGAUUAAAAGUUUCCUUCUUAAUUACAUAAACCGUAGUCCAGUGUCAUUGUUCAUUUACGUUAGUCCUAUACAUUGUUAAACUUGUUUUUGUUGUCAUUCAAGCCAGAGAAUAUCUAUUGGCUACAUUGUUGCGGCUUUAUGUGAGAUUUGGCUUUCAUCUCGACCGAUAAGAGAAAUAGGUUUCUUCAAGCCUUAUUAUUGGCAUUGGUAAGGUUUUGAUAUCUUGCAUUGGCCUUUAUAUUAUUAAACUUCAAGCAUAAUUGACAUCGUAAAAGUGUUAUGUUUAACAAUUGUAAUGUGACUUCAAUUCUUGAUUCUAUUUCACGAAAUGGCUUAAGUAACAAUACUCAUUUAUUUUCCCUCUCUCACUUGGGCCUAAUAAGCAGGAUUUUUAAUAAAUAUUUGCCUGAUUAACACACCAUUAACUCAGAUCCUUGAACAUGUAAUACAUAGAUCAACAUUCAAUUGAUAUCUUAAAAUACUAAUCAGAUGGUGAGUAUGAGCUUAAUGGAUUGAAUUGCAAUUUUUUUUUUUUUUUAAUUUUUUGGCUUUCUUUUCUCAAUUUAUUGAUGAAGCAAAAUUUUCAGGGUUUUGGCAUUUUCAUUGUGUGCAAUUUAUACGGGAUUAUUACACGGUCUCUACGUUCCAGAUUGGCAAUUUGAAAUCUCCAAUUCAACUUCUUCUGUUCUUCCAAACAAUGGCAGUUAUGUUUACUUGGUGAGAGUUUACUGAAACCUUUUUCUUUUGCUAUUAUUAUUAUUUUUUUUUUUUUUAUGCCUGUGAUUGUGUGCAUGUAUGUGAGGGUGCAUAUAGAAAUUAAAUUCAUGGAGAACAGAACCACUAGAGAAUGCUUGUCAUUAUCUAAAUUUUGUUUGCUACAAUUUUGACCAUGUUAUGAGCGCCUUGAAGCAUUUAUCUCUGGAACUAGAACUUCUAAUGUAGAUUUCUACUAGAAUUCGUCACCUUUCUAUGAAGAGCAAGUUAAUUUGCCAACACCAUAUUAUUUCAUCGUCCAAAUACUCGACUAAAACAUCAUUAGAGGAGAGAUGUGUUUUUGAAGUACAUUUUACAUACGUAAGUCAAUACAGUCAUUGCGCAUGCAUUUUCUGCUAGUAUUAUCCUUUCAAAAUGAAGUUAAAAUUUUUAUUGCUUGACGUUUGAAGUCAUGAAUUUGAAUACAUUCUUCAUAUUUUUCACAGGUGAGCUGCUCUGUAAGAGGCGAUCUUGGACCUGCUUGUAAUUCAGCUGGAAUGAUCGAUCGCUAUGUUCUUGGUAUUGAUCAUCUCUAUACAAAACCCGUCUAUAGAAAUCUGAAGGUAUUCUAUAUUGAUCUUUUUAUGGUGGUCUUUAUCCAUCCAUAUGCAAUGUAUUGAUCCCUAACAAAAAUCUCAACUUAUAGGAAUGCAAUAUGACAAAUGGCCAAGUUUCAGAGAAUUCACCUUCAUGGUGUCAUGCUCCUUAUGAUCCUGAAGGUCUAAUAAGGUAGUUGAAAUGCAUAUCAAUAAGCUACUUAUUCAAUUAAGUUGAUCAAUAGAAUCAUGAAGAGGCAAGUGACCUGUUUUUUUUCUGUUGAAUGGUAGUUGGCAAACGUUUUUUGAAGUUCAACAAGCCAAGUGGAAGAUUUAGGAGAGUCAAAGUUGAGAUAUUAUCGAAUAAUAUAUAAUAUGAAUCAAACGUACAUAGACAGAUUAUCAAAAUCGAAGUCUAGAAAGUAGGAGGAUGUCAAAAGAUGAUAAUUUUCUACUAAACAUAAUUACACAUCAAUAUGAGUCGCAUACUAUUCAGUCUUAUUUUUGACAAUUAGGUAACGCGCUAAAAUUUAUUGUGCCUACAGUUCCUUGACGGCUGCAGUUACCUGCAUUAUUGGACUUCAAUUCGGCCAUGUCCUUGCUCACGUAAAGGUGAUAUCAUAUGCAUUCUUUACUCUCCCCGUGAAUUUUCUUUUCUUAUCUUUUUCACCUGUAGUUAUUUAUGGUCACUGUCGUAUAGGAGAUUUAUAAUGAUGUGCAAAAGCAUUCUGCUUUGAGCUACAUGCUACUGCUAUUUCACGUACUAUAGAACAAUCACCAUUUUGGUAAUUGCUUGUCAAGCUUAUUGACGUUACUUGUUACACAUGCUUUUCAGGACCACAAAGGGCGGGUGGAAUGUUGGUCUUUCUUCUCAUUUUCACUUCUUCUACUUGGAUCAUCCCUCGCCUUCGUAGGUAUGCUCGUCAACAGCGCAUAACUUUUGCCUUCAAUAAGUACCUAUCGACACAUUUUUGUUAUGAAGAUAGAUAACACUUGUUGCUAUAGAAAACAUUCCAUCCUCAAAAGUAAAGCAAGGUGCUCUACUAAUAAGAACAAAUUGAUCUCCCCCAAUUUGUUCAUUUUAGCAAUCAAUUUUAGGUUCUUAGUAAAUACAUAUUGAAAGCAAAUCUUUGAUCUUCCCCUUUUGUUUUGCAGGCAUCCCCGUGAAUAAAUCUCUCUAUACAAUUAGUUAUAUGCUUAUUACUUCUGCUUUGGCAGGAAUCACAUUCUCAGUUUUGUACUUGGUGGUGAGUCAAUUCUACCUACUAUUGGAAGCAAAGCAUAAUCUUUAGCAGCUUCUUAGAUUUUCCAAGAAAUAUAUACUUGUCAGAUUUGACUUAAAAAUCUAAUUUGGUUGCUCUUGCAAAGAAGCCAACUGAAGCAUAAACCACGAGACCAUGAAAACCCUACUCUAUACUUACUGAAAAUUGAAGCAAAAGAUUAUUUUCAUCUUUCUUAACUCUGAAUCAUCACAACUUAAAAUCCCUCAAACCAAAUAUACUCCUCGUUCCUACUAUUUGACAUUUUUAUCUCUUUUUCUUACUGUUUAUAUACUGCCUGCUGUAGGUAGAUGUAUAUGGUUACAGAUGGGUGUCAUUACCGUUGGAGUGGAUGGGAAGGCAUUCCUUGAGUAUCUUUGUCCUUCUAACAUCUAACUUAAUUAUUAUUGCAAUUCAAGGAUUCUACUGGUCUAAGCCUGAAAACAACAUAGUGAGUGUUUAGAAGAUCUACUGCUUUUUAUUCACUUGCUACUAAUAUGUAAAUCCAAAGACAGCUAACACCACAUUUUUUUUCUUGUUGCCUCACUUUUUUAACAGAUUCACCAGAUUGUCGCAUCCUUCGUGCACAGAUGAUACAUAUGGUCAUUGGGUCGAAUUACAUGGUUAGAGAUUUUGAAUCUUGCUUUUAAGAUAGGGUAAAACACUGAAUUCUCUAGCCAAUCUCUCUUUUCAGACCACAUUUUAUAAUAGUGUUUUGGGAAAUCAAGGACAUAUUAUUAGUACCUAGUGAAUCUUUUUACUUUUCCCCCUCUAUAUACAAAAUGAAAGUGAUAUAUAUAAAAAUGUAUAAGCUUUAGACUAGCAAGAGCCAUUGACUGAGUACGAGGGAAAGUGAUAUUUAUAAAAAUGGGUAAGCCCUUAGACCAGCAAAGAGGUCUUUUGAGGGUGAUGGAUCAUCCAUUACCCUCGAGAACAAAACUGUGCAGACUGGAUCCAAAGCGGACAAUAUCUUGCUAGGCCUAAAAUGCCAUAUAUAAUGAGUAAAAUCACUUAACUUCUAAUAAAAUGAUUAAAUAGUUGAUGUUUUCAUACUAUAGAAACUAAAUAAUUUCUUCCAAAAAUAGAAUAACUUACGGGAUAAUGGUAAUAUUUACCCCUCUACUUACCUCUACUUACGGGAUAAUGGUAAUAUUCAGGUUUACAGAUUCAAGUGGCAGGACAAAUUCAAGCUUGAGUUAAUGUUCAAAUUAACACUCUCCUGAGGCCACUAAGAGGUUCAGCGAACACAAGGUCGCGAAGCAAUCCAAAUUCCGCAAUUGUCCAGUGUUUUUGCAUGAAAUGCGGCUCUCAGCUGUCAAGGCUUGUGCCUUGUUCUUGACAAGAGUUAUAACAUGCUCUAGACAAUAUUGUAGUCUUAUUCAAUUUUAAAUCAAUCAAGGGAAGCAAUGAAACAAUUUUAUGCAAAUUAUAUUACACUUUCCAAUUUAUGACUUGGUCUGAGGCAGAUAUUGAAUCAUGCCAAUAAAAAAAAAAUUUAAAAAAAAAAAAAAAAAAAAAAAAAAAAAAAAAAAAAAUACUGCCUGCUGUAGGUAGAUGUAUAUGGUUACAGAUGGGUGUCAUUACCGUUGGAGUGGAUGGGAAGGCAUUCCUUGAGUAUCUUUGUCCUUCUAACAUCUAACUUAAUUAUUAUUGCAAUUCAAGGAUUCUACUGGUCUAAGCCUGAAAACAACAUAGUGAGUGUUUAGAAGAUCUACUGCUUUUUAUUCACUUGCUACUAAUAUGUAAAUCCAAAGACAGCUAACACCACAUUUUUUUUCUUGUUGCCUCACUUUUUUAACAGAUUCACCAGAUUGUCGCAUCCUUCGUGCACAGAUGAUACAUAUGGUCAUUGGGUCGAAUUACAUGGUUAGAGAUUUUGAAUCUUGCUUUUAAGAUAGGGUAAAACACUGAAUUCUCUAGCCAAUCUCUCUUUUCAGACCACAUUUUAUAAUAGUGUUUUGGGAAAUCAAGGACAUAUUAUUAGUACCUAGUGAAUCUUUUUACUUUUCCCCCUCUAUAUACAAAAUGAAAGUGAUAUAUAUAAAAAUGUAUAAGCUUUAGACUAGCAAGAGCCAUUGACUGAGUACGAGGGAAAGUGAUAUUUAUAAAAAUGGGUAAGCCCUUAGACCAGCAAAGAGGUCUUUUGAGGGUGAUGGAUCAUCCAUUACCCUCGAGAACAAAACUGUGCAGACUGGAUCCAAAGCGGACAAUAUCUUGCUAGGCCUAAAAUGCCAUAUAUAAUGAGUAAAAUCACUUAACUUCUAAUAAAAUGAUUAAAUAGUUGAUGUUUUCAUACUAUAGAAACUAAAUAAUUUCUUCCAAAAAUAGAAUAACUUACGGGAUAAUGGUAAUAUUUACCCCUCUACUUACCUCUACUUACGGGAUAAUGGUAAUAUUCAGGUUUACAGAUUCAAGUGGCAGGACAAAUUCAAGCUUGAGUUAAUGUUCAAAUUAACACUCUCCUGAGGCCACUAAGAGGUUCAGCGAACACAAGGUCGCGAAGCAAUCCAAAUUCCGCAAUUGUCCAGUGUUUUUGCAUGAAAUGCGGCUCUCAGCUGUCAAGGCUUGUGCCUUGUUCUUGACAAGAGUUAUAACAUGCUCUAGACAAUAUUGUAGUCUUAUUCAAUUUUAAAUCAAUCAAGGGAAGCAAUGAAACAAUUUUAUGCAAAUUAUAUUACACUUUCCAAUUUAUGACUUGGUCUGAGGCAGAUAUUGAAUCAUGCCAAUAAAAAAAAAAUUAAAAAAAAAAAAAAAAAAAAAAAAAAAAAAAAAAAAAACACUAGAAAAGCUCUAAUAUUCGAGAAUCUCAUCGUAAAGCAAUAGUAUGAUUUACACAUUCACCCAAUACUCAGGGUUGUUAAAAUUGUGAACAUAUUUAAAUAAAUAUGAAUUUGGAUUGUAAUUAUAUCUAUUUUUAAGUGUAAUCCUUAACAUAUUUUAAAAACAAGGUGAUGUAAUUUACAUAACAUACCAGGAUCAUUAAUGUUUAAUAAUAAUUUGUUUCUCUAAUCCUCAAAUAGGACAUACCUCGGAAGCACAAGCAAUGCAAGGUACCAAAGAUGUCAAAACCAACUUGAAAUCCUGUGUGGUUUCAAAUGUUCGCAAUUCAUCAAUCAACGAGCUGCUACUUCAGUUGAUAGGAACUGCUUCCUAUCAAUAAAGAUUUAUGUUUGUUUAGAACUGAAACUCUCCUUUUCAAAUAACUCUUAACGAUAGAAAAGAUACCAACUCAAAUUUUAAGUUACCUUCGUGCAAGAAUUUCUCUGUUGAUCAAAUAAUGAGAGGCCUUAUCCAACACUGGGCAGAGACUUGACUACAAGUAACAUCAAUAGCAAUCUUGCAGUUUCCAGCUACAAAUUCAACUUGAGAUAUAAAAAGAUGCAGAUGCAUUAUAUUCUCACUUCCCAGGGAGGUCACUCCACAUCUGCCUAGCAAAGCAGCUCAUCUGUGCUAGUUGCUCACGAUUGGCUUGUAAAAUGCACCAUAUGCUACAAUCACAACAAACUUCUCUGUGCGGCUUGGGAUAGAUCAUAGUAAGUUUCUGUGUGAACGCUUCAACCUAAUAUGAAGGACAAAGAAAUCAAAAUGCAAACAUUAGAAAAUAUGCUUAAAAAACAAGUGAACAAUAGAUAUGAAGAAAACUCAAAUCCCAAGUCUCCAACGAAAUGAUUUUGUGAACUCAGACUAAACUUUCUUCAUAUCUAACAACAUAUUAGAUAUGAAGAAAGUUUAGUGAGUUGUAAUUUCCUGGCACUCUAUGUGAUUCUCCAAUCCAUUGUCUCUAGUUAACUGUGUCAUUUCGAACUAAUCCACCACUUUGUAAAGCUUGUUGAUAAAGUUCAUGCAACUUAAUUGAUGUAUUGAUCAGCAUAGCCAUUAUCGUCCCAAGCAUACUAAUUCAGGUAUUUAACCAAUCCUACCAAAGAACUAACAUAAUUGAUGAGAAACCCAAUUACGAAAAUGAUUAUGCAAUAUCAUUCAUGCAAUCUUUACUAUUUCAAUAUUGAUAACCAAUAAAUAUUCCUCCAUUUAAAUUGAAAAUUAAAUUAAAUGAUAAAAUAAGGGCAAAAUCAAGGAGUUCACAUGCAGCACUUGAUGUUGAGAUCGUGUUUUGGGGAGUUUGAGCUAAAGAUUGAUAAGGACAGAGACAAGACCUACAUACCGCCGCAUAAUCAUCAACACUAGGAGGAAUCUACCCAGCUAACUGCUGCUUCUUUCUUGAUAUUAUUCCUUUCCAUUAUUACUCUUAUUUCUGAUGCAUUUUCCCAUUGUCCCAUAUCGGCAUACAUGUUGUAUAACAAGACAUAUGGAACUGAGCUAUCUGGUUCGAGUUUCAUUAAUGCUUCAGCAGCAAUACGGGCAAUCUCUGCAUUGUUAUGGACCCUAGAAGCACCCAAUAAUGCACCCCAAACAGCCUUAUCUGGCUUAAAUGGCAUGCCAUUGAUCAAAUCCAAGGCCUCUUCAAGCUGUCCAUGCCGACCCACAAUGUCAACUAGGGAAGAGAAGUGUUCAAUCCUUGGCUCGAUGCCAUAUUCACUAACCAUGGAUUUAAAUAUCCCUCGACCUUCUUCAACCAGUCCAGCAUAAGCACAGGCAUUCAGAGCAGAAAUAAAUGUUAUAUAAGUAGGCUGCACUUUGGAAAUUCUCAUUAAUUUGAAAAGUUCCAAGGCCUCUGCAGCAUAACCAUGGGAUGCAUAUCCUCCAAUCAUUGCAUUCCAAGAAAUUACUUCUUUAUGCGGUUUCAUUUCAUCAAAAAUGGUCCAUGCCUCAAUUAUUGCCCCACAUCUUGAGUACAUCGUGAUGAGGGCAUUAUUCAAUGGCACAUCUGGGAUAACUGUCUUUCUGACCAGCUGAUGAAUCUGCAUACCCAAGUGCAGAUCCACAAUUCCAGAAGAUGCACUGAGAAGCGAAGAUAAUGUGUGUCGGUCAGGUUUCUCUCCUUCAACUUGCAUCCGAAAGAAGACCUUAAUUGCUCCUUUAUAAUCCUCCUUCUUCUCAUGCCCCGCAAUCAUGGAAUUCCACGACACCAAAUUCUUCUGGGGCAUCCUCUCAAAAAACUCAUGAGCAAGUUCCAAAUUACCUACCAGGGCAUGUCCUGAUAUCAUUGAAUUCCAUGAAAAGGAAUCAGGAUUUGGCAUUUUGCAAAAGAGGUUUGACGCCUCCUCCAUAUCUGAGACAUGAACAUAUCCACUAAUGAUGGUAUUCCAUGAAAAAGUGUCUAGUACAAUCAUUUGGUCAAAGAGUUCCCUAGCAGAAACAAUAUCUCCAGCCUUCACAUAGCACAUUAUCAUGGUAUUCCAUGACACCACAUUUCUCUCAAACCUCCCUUUACUUCCUUUUUGUUUGUCAUUAUUACUUGGCAUCUUAUCAAAAAGUUUCCGAGCUUCAUCCACCCUUCCUCUUUGACCAUAUCCCGCAAUCAAAGUAUUAUAAGCAUGCACCAACUCCUCUUUCCCACUAUUAUUAUUUCCAUAGUCAAGCAAAAUUUUUGCAGCUUCCUCAAGCUUCUCAUUAUGAAUAAGACCCGAUACAAGUGCACUCAACGAUGUUGAAUCCCUCUCUGGCAUUCUCUCAAAAAACUCAAUUGCACGCGCCACAUCACCAUUUUGCAAAAAACCAGAAACUAUAGCAUUCCAAGAAACAGCAUUUGGCUUAGGCAUUGUAUUAAAAAGCUGCAGAGCCUCCUCUAUUCUCCCAUUCCUUGCAUACCCACUAAUCAUUGUGUUCCAAGAAACGCAGUCCCUCUUUGGCAUUUUAUCAAACAAGCACCUUCCCUCCUCUAUAAACCUCUUCCCACGACAUGACACAUACCCCGAAAUCAUCAAAUUCCACGACACAACAUCCCUCUUUGGCAUUUCAUCAAAAAGCUUUCUUGCUUUAGUCAUCUCACCCUGUCUCGCAUACCCACUGAUCAUUGAGUUCCAUGAGAUGGUGUUUCUUUGCUCCAUUUUAUCAAACAAUGCCCUUGCAUCAUUAAUCUGACCUGUCUGGUUGAAACGCGUGAUUUUUUUAUUCAGGGAAAACAAGUCUCUGUCGCAAUCAUUAAAUGAACUCUUUGAUUUUGGAGCCGAUGCAAAACAGCUAGCUUCUAUGCUGAUGUAUGGCUUCCGUCUAGUCUGAAGCUUCCAUUUGCAUGAUGCGCCAAGGGCAAUUCUCAACCUGAGCAUAAUUUACAGAACAAGUUUACUGAACCUCUAAGAUUCAUUCAGCAACUGAUGAAUUAAACAAUCAAACUUUUUAUCAGAAAGUUAUUCAUUUUCUUAAUAUAUUUAGUUUUGCUCAGGUCACAUCACACGCUUGUCACACUCUUAACUUCUGAAACCAACAAAAAGAAUUAGGCGGUUUCAAAAAACGGUCAUCUAAUGGAACCUGCCAUAUUUGUCAAGCUAACUAAGAGUUUUCUUCACCUGUUCAACCUAUAAAAAUUUUUAAAACAAUUAUAAUCUACUAAAAAAAUAUUUUUUUUUUUAUAAAACUAAUAAUUGGCUAUAAAUAAAGGACAAUAUAAUUACCAAACCAGAAAUUACUAAUGCCACAGCUAGAUAUGUUAUUGACUUUUGAUUUGACAAUACUAUCUUAUAUGUAAGACGAUACUAUCCUUAUAUGUAAUAUUCUAAAUUUAUCAUUUUAUACUCUUAAAACUAUUCUUAUUAACUUCAAAUCUAUUCAUCUAUUUUUAUAUCAAUUCCAUACACAAUUUUUUCAUAUAGCCGACCCCCACUAGUUUGGACCUAAGGCUUGGUGGUGGUGGUUGUUUUUCCAUAUACAAUUUUUUCAAGAGAGAAAUAUUAACUUUGACAAACAUAUAAUAGCUAAACCUAAUACUUGUUUCAUCCUAUUAAUUAAUAAUGAAAAUUCGAAAAUCAGGACAACAAAAUUUAAAUGCAGAAAUAAAUAAAUAAAUAAAUAAAAUGAAAUUCUCAAGAAUACAUAUCAAACUAAAAAAUUUAAUUGUCUUCUUUAAUAAAAUAAUAAAAAAUGAACAUUAUUUUUCCCCAUUAAAUUUAUUCUUCUAAAUCCCUGAAAAUGUUAUUUUCCAGUUAACUCUGGUACCUGUUUAUAAAAUUAAAAAACAUUUCACAUGAACUAUAUAUUUUAGCUGCUUUUAAAAAUUUCACAUGACUAUACCAAAAUUUCCCUAAUCUCAGUUCCUUUGCAACCAAAACAUUUUUCCAUUCCUAUGGUUUGUUUAUUAACUGAACUAGCCAGUAUCUUACUGGUAGAUAAUUUGAUUUGGUAUAAUUUACUCAAAAAUCAAGUUGAAAAAAAAAAGCAGAACAUAUAUCCUCUCUUAUAAAAUGCUUACCGUGAGGAAAAUGAUAAAAUUACAGUCACGCAAAGAAGGCAAUACCAAAUAUGGAUUUUCUUUCUUUUCUUGCAUGUUCCCAAACAACUAAAGUGAUCUCUAGCCAUAUUUUCUCAGCCACCAAAAAAUUAGAAAAUAUAAUUACAGAAUUCUUAAUAUGCAAUUCGCAAAGUAAAACAAAUUAAAGAAGAGCUAAAAAAUGAAAAAGAAGGAUUGCUCACAUAGAUGUUGACAGUGAACUAAGUCGCUGCAGGACUGCACCUGCCAACAUAUUGAAUGGUGGUCAAAGACCGCUUUUGCUUCCUCCCAUUUUGAUUACUGCACAAAAAAUACCGGCAUAAAGGCUGUCAAGUAAAAGAGAUUCUCUAGAUUUCUGUCUCAGAUUCUAUAUCAAACAUGAAAAUAGAAAUUUGAGGCAAACGACAAUCAAUUUAUCUAAGAAAAGAUGAGUAAACAAAAAGUUAAAGUGAAAUGUGUCCAAUAAUGAACCUGAAUUCACAAAAUCAAAAAUAAUUGUUGCCUUCUUCCCUUCUAACUCUUCAAAAUUUCAGCUCUUUCAUUCAAAAUCUUCCCAAUCUCUUGCUAAUUCUGGAUAUUCAUGGAGUCUGGAAUCAAACGGUUAACAGAGAGGGUAGUUUCAUUUUUAUUUCAUCAAAAUUUGAUGAAAUGGAACAAAACUUGGGAUUUGGUUUGGGAAAUCACAAGGAAGUGUUGAAUUGAGAAGAAAAUAUUUAGAACUUUGAGAAGAGGACUUGGGUUGGUUUUUUGCUUAGUGACAUAAACAGGUUAGGAGGAAUGUGGCCUUUUUUUCACUCUUUUUUUGAAUGAAUUUCAAUGUUUAAGAGUAAAAGGUCAUAAAAAAAUUUAAUAAUAGUUGGACUUGUGCGGAGCUCGCCCGCAUGCAAGGUCCAACUUUAAAUAAAUAAUUAGUCAUUUAUCAGCAUAUUGUGGAUGGCAACGGGUCAGGUACACAAAAAGUGUCGUAUCCCAAUCCAAACUCACUUAAAUAUAAGGUACCUGAAUCCAUUUAAAAAAUUACCCCUGCAUUACCCAUAUUCGUCCCAAAUUGAAUUAGCAUUACCCAUUUGCAAUCCGGAUUCAUAGAAACAACCGUUUAACACAAAAUGAACAAAAUGCAUACAACACACAAUACACUAAACUGUAUAAACACUUGAUUAUUAUCGAACCCUUAUAAAAUAAAGAAAAUAGCAUGCUGUUAUUUUUACCACUCCAAUUGUCAGAAAUUGUAUGUAAUUACAUAGUUUUUACAAUUCAAAGAAACUUCAAGAAUCUACUAACUUAAUUAUAUAAUGGAGAGCAAGAAUGAAUACAUUUAAACUCCAGGUCUACGAAUAUGUGGCCUGUAAGUAUUUGGUCAAUAUAGUUUCUUGAAUCCCUGGACAAAAGAGACAGCUUAUUUGAUGAAAGUAAAAAUUAUUUAACUGCUGAAAAAGAAGAAUGCAUAAUGCAAUAAUGCAAUGUAUAGAGAAUGUAUAAUACAGUGUUGAUAUAUGGUUGUUAUUAGUUGUGUUUUCCAAUGCUUAUUUGUAGCAGUUCAUAUUAGUGAAGGUCUCACUGAUUACCUAAAUAAACCAAAUGAAAUAUAGGCAAUUUGAAUUAAUUAGUAAUCUUUAUUUCCUUGUGUAUGAGCUAAUGGAAAAUUUCUACAAAGGAGAGAGGGAGAAUAUGAAGAAUCAAUGUUAGAUUGUUGUUCCAGGAUUAGAUUUCAUUCCCAUCUGAACUUUGGCAGUCUUACAAAUCAGUUUCUAAUUUUGUGAAACUUAUGAAAAUUGUUCUGCAUGCCUACUGUAUAAAGUUUAUGCAUCUUUUGUCAGUUCAACUAAAGAAAAUAACACAUGCUGAUUUUACUUUAAAUAUUAAAUAGUAGCAUUUUUACGGAAAAGCCUUACCCUACAACCUACUGAGGAUGAUUUUGAUCAGAAGAUACAUAUUUAUUGAUCAAUCGUUUAGGUUUUUCAAUGAAAUUUUUGAAAUGCAUUUAGAAUUAAAUGCUUAACAGAAUCAUUUAGAUCUUUAGAAGUUAAGGAUUUUAAUCAACUUGCUUCAAUUUCACUCAUUUAUGUAUAAUUUUCUUGGUGUCUUUGCAAUUACAGAUACCAUCCAACACUUAAGUACAAAGAAUUCUGUACACUGGGAUGAUUCUAUUGUCAUUAAACUUGUUUUGACCGGCAUUUUAAGGAACUGAUUUUUCUAAACAAGAUUUACAAUCAGCAACAAAGAUAAAAAGAAACAAAAGAAAAGAAAUAAAAACUGCAGAAACAGGACAAGACAAAACCAGCAAAAAGAACAAAAGGAAACCAAAAACCAAAAAGAACUAAAGCGGCAAAACCAAACCAAAGAAUAAAAUAAGGCCCAAAGCAGCAGUAACAGUUUAAAAAAAAAAAAAAAAAAAAAAGAAAAAAGAAAAAAAGAGCAUAAGAAACCAAUUAACUUAGUCUAUCAUAUCAACGGCUAUUUACAUUCACAAAAUCAAACCACAUACUCAAUUUACAGUAAAGUGAAGAAAACAAAAAACGAAAUUAUUGACAGAGCUUUAACUUUAACAGUAACAAAAAUACCUUGCGAUUUGCGAGCCACAGAGCUAGUCUUGAACGAGACACAGAGCUUGUCGGCGGAGAUCGCCGCUCUUGAGGCGCGCUCGUCACUCGUCGGAUAAAAGGCAACAGGCAAAUCGAAGAUGAGAGACUAAGGCAACAAGAGAAAAAAUCAGAUCGAGGCAAAACUACUGCCUCGCGAAGAACGAAUUGAACUUUGAUUUAAAAAGUUAAUUCAAAACGACGUGGUUUGGUUAAGGCAUUUUCUGUGUCAAAACUUCGUCGUUCUGGUAGUGAAGUGUUAGUUAUUUUCUUCCUUUCUUUUUCUGGCCUAAUACAGAGAGAUAAUUAAAAUUUUAUGUAAUUCAGUUAUAAAUUUAAUUUUUAUAUCUGAUAUGCAAAAACUAAAAAUUUAAAUUUUGUGAAUUUAAUUCUAUAAUAUAAUUAAAUUAAAUUUCAUAAAAAAGUGAAAUUUUAGAAUGAAUUUCAUAAAUUUAAACAAUAUAUUUUCGCAGAUAAUAGUAGAUAAGUUCUUGAUGGGCUUAAAUCUAUGUUUCUGUAUUUUACACAACCAGCAAUUGAACAGAAAAAAAAAACAUUCGACCAUAAAAUGACAAGCAUCUAUUCCAAUCAAAAUUAUUAGUGAUCCAAGUUAUCAAAUGGGCCUCAAAUAUACACAAAGCCCAAACACAACAGAUACACACUCAUCAUCCUUAUAUUUAUUCAUCAAGUGGGCCCAAGCCAGCAGGAGGCGGUUACCAAAUGUACAAAGUUAAAUAUAUAGAGUAGAUACAACAGCUGCUAGCAUCUGCUUCUUGAAUGUUUUCACUGUAUUGAACUAUUCUACAAUACAAUUUUUGUCUCCAUUAAUACACUGUUUCAGUUUUCUCUUUCUCUGGUGAAGAAUGCUUUGAUAAUCUCAUCAGUUAGCAAACCUCAAUAAUCUUUUUUGUUGUUAAAAUUUUGAUUAACAGCCUAGCCUGAUAUGGUGGUGACAAUUCUAAAUGAAAACAUAACCAAUAAUUAAAAAAAAAAAAAAAAGAAAUAAAAAUACCUAUGCUUUUAUUGUGUUUCAGCCAUUCAUUUUGUUAAGAUUUGAUGGGAGGUUUAAAUUGAUAUAAUCUUAAAUUCAUAUAUUGAAUUGAAAAAAUUACGAAAUCAAAUCGAAGAAAAAGUAAACUUUCUUUUUAUUUGAUGCAAAUUGAAUUGCUUAGCGUGACUAAUAAACUACAGGCCCAUUUUGGCCCAUUCUCCAAAUUUUGGGCCCUCAUACUGGGCCUAAACGCACUCGUACUUUUACCCAAUUCCUCUUUGGCAAAAACCCAUAACUAUAAAUUUCCAUCUAUCUCUGGUAGGAAAAAGAUAAAAUUCCAACUAGUCCAUGAGGUUCAGCCAACUGUACAGUUUCAUCCCAAUAUUUAAAAAUAAAAGGAAUUAAGGAGUCCCAAAAUUUAAUUCCAUUAAUGAAAUAAUAUUUUUAUUUCCAUAGACCUGGUUUAGGUAGGUCUAAACCUUAUUAUAAUUAAUAUUAAUUAACCAAUAGUCAAUAAAUAUUUUUUUGAAAAAUAUAAUUCAUUAACUAUAAUAUCAAACAUUACGAAUAAUCAUAUAGAUCAGACAAUGAAUUUUACUAUCAUAAGCUAAUAGAGUUCGUUGAUCUUUUAACAAGCUAAAAUAAUUAUAUAUAUUCUUUUGAAUGAUAAUACUAAAUAUAAGAAAAUAUAAUAUUAUAUCUUUCCACUUGAAGAUGAUCUUGAUAAAAGAUAUAAAUAUUCUUAUUACCAACUAGUUUUUUAAUUGAUUUGGAUAGUAAAAUAAUAAUUACUUUGGAUCUUUUAUAUCUGAAUUGUUUUUAGCUAAAUUGUUUUUUCAAGGACUUGUAAUAUAUAACAUACACAUAUGAAUUCUCGCCAACAUACAUCAAUAGUAUCAAUAGAGGAACAAGUCGCACUAUUAGACUUCGUUGAUCAAAGAUUCACAUUUACAAAUCAAUAUCAAAAGUUUCCAACCAAAUAAAAUCAAAUAUUAUACUUUUAUUUAUAAUAAACUCUCAUACAGAAGGAACAAAAAGCUCUAAAUACGGAAACAAAAUAACAAUAAUAAAAAUCAAAACAAAUAUAUUAUAUGAUAAAUAGAUAUGAAUUUAUUAAAAUGGCUAAGAGAAUUUAAAAGAGAAAAAGAGAAGAAGUUGAAUCAAAGGAAAAAAAUAGAAUGUAGGAGAUUAUCACUAAUCAACAUCAAGCGGCCACAAACUAAAUUUUUAAACAUUUUAUAAAUUUCAAUCAAUGACUUCGUUAUUUUAGGUGUCUCGUCAUGCCGAAGAGAUAAUAAAAAAUCAAAAUUCGAAAGACUCAAGAAAGAUCAUCUUUUCACCAUUCAUAUUUAAAUAUAAUAUAUAUAACGGCAGAGCUUCUUAUGGUCGAAAGGUCGCUGGGCAAUUCUAAGAAAUUUUUUUUAAAAGAAAAAUUCUUAUGAAAUAUUAUAUUUUGGUCUUUAAAAAUAUAAAAAAAUUAUAUUUUGAUACCCUAAAAGUUUUUAAAACUUCAUUUAGCUUGUUUAAAGUAAUUGUCUUAGUUCUGUGCUGAAUAUAUAUAUAUAUAUAUAUAUAUAUAUAUAUAUAUUAAAUAUUCUAUGUAUUAUCCCUAUCACAUUUGCAUUGAUAACCAGGACAAGAAGCUUGUAGCCAAAUGUUAGAGUACUGACAACUAAUUCCCACUGUGAAAUGUUUUAUUAGCCUCUGAUCAUCAAUGAUUAAGUGGCCCACUUGUUUUAAUUUGUCCAGAACUUAUGGAAUAAUUAAUCAAGUAUUAAUAAUUAUUUUUGGAAGCGAACAUUCUAGAUAUACCUUUUUUCUCUUGUUCAGCUACUGCAACAUUUUUGUUGGAGAAUCAAGAACUUAUGGCUUAAAAUAUUCGCAUAUACUAUAUUAAGUACUCCCAUCUUCAAAAUAGUUCAUUUUCUAUUUUUACACAGAUUAAAAAAAUAAUAAUUAUUAUGAGUUUUGACAAUUCUAUUCCUAUAACUUUUCUAUCAUACCAUUUUAAAUAACAUAUGAGCAAUUAUUAUAUUUAAAUAAUAAGUAAAAAUUAAUGAGGGUUAUUGAAAAUAAGAAAAAAUUUAAUAAGGGUAUAAUAGACAAUUUCAUGAUUAACUAUAAUACAAAAAAGAAAAAUAAACCAUAUUUUAGGACAAAUUAAAAAGAAAAGAUGAAAUAUUUUUUUGAGGCAGAUCUAUUAUUCUUCUCACAAUAAUGAUUUUAUAAGUACAGUUUUUUUUUUUCUUUAUACUCAAAUGAUAUGAGAAGCUAAUUUUAUAAAAAACGAAGAUUAAUUUGUCUUUGAAUUUGUUUAAUAGGAUAAAAAAUGUCAAGAUUUGAUCUUUUUAGAUCAAUUUAACAUCUAAACUUAUUUAAAAUAAUUAAAAAGAUCAGAUUUAAUAUUUUGGAUUAAUUUAGUCCCUGACUAUUCGCUGUAUUUAUAACGUGAGAAUUCUUAUAUAGACAUUUAUUAAAAUUAUAGUUGGAAUCACGUGGUAUAAUUUAUUGAAAAAUUUAAUUAAAUAUCAAAUUGAGGAAAUAAUAUAUGAAAUAUAUUAUAUCCCUCUUUAUCUUGAUCUAUCAUUUUAAAUUCAUAAAUAUGUACUAAUUUAAAUAUUUUAAAAUUGAACUUUACUACUAGAUUAUUGCAUAUGCAGUUCAUGCAUUUCUCAUGUUAAACGAAUUCAAAGUUACACUACAUAUUUUAUAAAUUUACUGUGUUAAAGAAAUAAUAUUUUCGUGAUUUUAAAAUUCUAUUCAGAAGUAUUGGAAAAGUUUGAUCUAGAUAUUCCUAUUAAAUUGAAUCAAUUUAUUAUUUUGUAAAAAUCAAAAUAAAUUUAGUGGCUGAAUUGAUUUAAAAAAAAUCAAAUCUGACUUUUAAAUCCCAUAAAUAAGUUCGUGAGCUAAAUUAGUCUUUAUUCCAUUUUAUAACCACAAAGUCGUGUUUAAAAUUUUAAACAAUAUGGUUCUUAUGUUGCCUGUAACGGUUUCGUAUGCUCUAGUAGCUUUCUCUCUUUUGUCCAAGGUUUCUUGUCCUGCCAACAUGGAGAGGGACUUUAAUCAUUUGUCAAUCGCUGAUGAUGAGGAAGAAGGCUUGCCUGUUAACGCAUCUUCAGAUGCCACCAAGUCUACCUACGAAUUUUGUCUUGUCGACAUGUUCUUGACUUGCGGGACUGUGAAUUUUUAGUCCAUGCGAAACACUUUCGCAGAUUUGUGGCAUUCGCUCGGAGGGAUUAUAAUUACUGAUUUGGGAGCCAAACGUUUUCUGUUUCGGUUCUACAACAAAGUGGAUUUGGAUAGGGUUUUGAAUGGUGCCCCAUGGACUUUUAAUCGACACUUGCUGGUAUGGGGUCUGAUAAAAAAUGAUGAGGACCCGCUGCUGAUUCCUUUGCUAUACUCGGAUUUCUGGGUUCAGGUACAUAACUUGCCGGUCGGGUUAAUGUCUGCGGCAGUGGCCAAAUCAAUAGGGAAUUUCAUUGGUACUUUCAUUGAAUAUGACAUUAAGACUGUUCAUUUUGAUCCCAAUCAAUUUAUGAGACUGCAGGUUAAGUUGGAUAUUCGUACCUUUACGUAGAGGAAAGAAGUUGAUUGAUUCUAAUGGUAAUGUUCAUUAUGUCCAAUUCCAGAAUGAAAAACUUCUUGUGUUUUGCUAUACUUGCGGUCGCUUGGGACACACCGAUUCGUUCUGUAAAUUACAAUUGCACAAGUCUAAAAAAGAACUCAAGCCAGCUUGGGAUGAUCGAAUAAGGGUGCCGAUUCGCCGGAAAAUUCAGCAAACAACCAUGGCUGCAUGAUGAUAGAAAGUUUGAUGAUACUCCAAUCCAGGCAGAUAUUUCGGGAUGUGUGGGCGGGAAAUAUGGAGUUUUGAAAUCCCAACAAUUUUGAGCUUCCUUUUAUGGCACGAUAGUUAAUUUUAAUGUUAGUACUAAUCCCAUAGGCUUUAUGGAGACUGAUACAAAUUCUUUGAAUGGGUCCAAUACUGAUGGGCUUGACGAGGAUGUGGUCUUAGAAGAUGUGGGUGAAAUGAAGAAGAGGCCCCGAUGAUCCUUUUUGGUGAGGGUAUUAAAGUGGCUAGUGAUCCUUGAGGAGGAUCCUUUUUGCUGUAGAAUCAACGUGGUAGCUCUACUGUGGAUAUUGCCGUGAAGUACCUAUCGAAUUGGAGAGAAGUGUGUCUGCCACAUGAAGCUGCUGUGACGUCCAUUUCAGUGCUUCAUUGACAUGCACAUAAAGCACCAUCCAUUCACGCUCACAAUUUUGUUUGGAUUUGCUUCAUUGAUGGAUCAGUGUUCACAACCAUGGAUUUCAUUGGCUAUGCUUAUGUUAUUGAGGACAGUGAGGGACGGUUUCAACGUGCAGUGUCAGGGUUUCAGGAAGGCAAUGGCUCGGCGGUGGUGAUGGAGGCUAUAGCUCUUCGUUCCUGCCUUUCAUAUGCUCGUGAUUUUCUAUCUUUAAAUGGGUGUAUUUUUUCAAAUUGCCAAAAUCUUAUGAAUGCUCUCAAAUCCCAUUGUUUUAGAUAAUUUUGAAUUUGGUUUGAUUGUUCUUGAUUGUAAGCGAAUUUUAGAGUCUAGACAUGAUAUUACUGUCAGGUGGAUUCAGAGACAAGCUAAUAUGGAUGCUCACACUCUUGCUAGAGCAUCUAUACAUCAUGCUCGUUUCCAAAUUUGGGAUGAUGUUCGUCUUGUUAGUUAGAUUUUUUCCAUUGAGAUAAUGCAAUAUUAUUUCAUUUAAAACAAAUUUAAAACAAUAUAUAAAUUUUAUCAAACAAAUUUAAAUUAAUAACUCUAAAAAAUUUUAAUUUUUAGAUAUUAAAUGGUGUUAUUAGAUGUAAACUAAAUUUAUAUUGUUAUUUCAAUUUAAAUGUCUAAACAAAAUUCUCAAAUUCUUUUUUUGUUAAUAUUUUUUUGGAGAAAUAUAAUUCAUUAAUAAUAAAAGUAUUACAAAUACUCAAUUAGAUCAAAUAUAAAACUUAUUAUCAUAAUUAAUAAAAAGUUCGAUGAUCCUUCAACAAUAAAAGAAUUAUCUAUAUUUUUUUGAAUAGUAAAACUAAAAUUAAAAGAAACAGUUGGAGUUUUCCGCUUGAAAAAAACUUUGAUCGAUAUAAAUCUUCAUAGUAACAACUGAUCCUUUAAUUGAUUUGGACGAUAAAAUAACUUUUUCGAACUUUAUAUGCUUGGAUUGCUUUUUCAAAAAUUUGUUGCAUAUAACAUAUGCGGAUGAGUUUAAACCACUAUGGGUUAAUAGCAUGAAUGAAGGAACAGACUGUACUAUCAGGUUCCAUUGGUUGAAGAUACACAUCAGUAAAACAAGAUCGAAAUUCUCCAAUCAAAUAAAAUCAAAUGUCAUACCUUUUAAUAAUAAAUCUUCACAAGGAACUAAACCCUCUCAAAAGAAUGGGCAAAAAAACUCCAAAUAUGGAGACAAAACAAAUCAAUAACAAAAACAACAAUAACAAAAAUAUAUCUAUUAGAAGAAAAUGGAUUUGAGUUUAUUAAAAACAAAUAAAAGAUUAGGAGCCAGAAGAAAAAAAAAAAAAGUAUGGGGCUACUACUGAUUAACAAUGGCAACCUCAAACAAAAACUAUGAUUAAAUAAAUCAGAGAGAAAAGAGGAGGAGAGAAACCCUAAAACUAUCGAUUUUUUUUUUGUUAAUAUUUAAAAUGACGGUUUUUUUUUUUUUUUUUUUUUUUUUUGCGAAUGUUAAACAAAUCCCUAAAUAGUAUAGGUAAUAAAAUAAAAAAAAAUAUGUAUCACUUUAAUAAUAAUUUCAUGUUAAAAAAUGUUGGAAAAAUAGAGCUCUUGAAUAGGAAAAUCCGGUAUCGAAUUUUUGCUCUGCUAGGGUUUAUCACUUUAACAUUUAAAAAAAAAAAAAAACUAUUUUCAAGACAGUUCAUUUUCUAUUAUUUCUUUUUAAUAUUGAAUAUUAAUUAAAUAACUUACUUUUAAAAAUAUUUUUCCUUGACUUUUUUAAACACUUUAAAUAUAGAAAAAAUUCAAAAAUAUUUUUUAAAUAAAUUAUUUUCAAGAAAAAAUCUUGGAUAAUGGAAAUUUGGAAAAUUAGAUAAAUAAUAAUAAAACCUUAUGCACAGCAAACAUUUGUUAUAUGGUGUCCCAAGAAUAGUAAAACUUGUGGCUGAAUUUUGUAUUUCUUUUUUAGAUCACUCUCUAUCACGCUCUUAACAAUUCCCAUUUGCUGAAGUGGUCCCCAUAAAAGUAUUCUUGAUUGAGAUUUGAAUACGAAUUUCAAUUAAGUAAGCUUCAAGUUACAAACAUCAUCUUCACAAAAUUUCCUUCAUUGGUGAAGCAUUUAUCAUUUGGUAAGUUUUCUCAGAUUUAACACUAUGUUUGGAAUUGGGAGAUUUUAUGAUAGGAAGAAAAUUUUGAAUGGAAAAUAAGAAAAGAAAGCUAUUUUCCUCCUGCUUAAAUGUAAAUAAAAUUUGAAAGGAAAGAAAAUAUUACCAAAAUCCUUUCUGUCCCAUAUUUUAUUAAUCUCUCCAAAUUGGCGAGAAAAUAGGAGAUAAAUGUAUAAAAGGAUAGAAGUGUAAAUUUACAACAAUACAAUUUUCUUUCCUCCAUAUUUUAGACUUUUCUAAAUAAUAUAUAUAUAUAUAUAUUUUUUAUUUUUUUUUUUCCUUUCAAUCUAAACAUAAAAUGGAAAAUAAAGAAAAAAAGAGCUCUUGUUUUACUCGGCACAUGUACAAAAUAUAAGACAUCAAUGUGUUGAACAUGCAAAUCCCAUGCAUGUAUCUGCCAUGCAGGGAUUCAUAAUUAGCUCAACUGAAAAAUUGUUAAGAUCUUUCUUCAUUGUCUUUUUGUCAUAUAAAAAAACACGAGAAAAAUAAAAUAAAACAAGAAAAGGAAGCGCAUGCACAUGCCUGUAAAUGUAUAAUAUACAUCCAUCCAAAUGGGCAAAGAUUAGAUGCCUUCUCACCAUUUUUCCGCGCAUCCAAAACCGUAAGGGGCCACUCACACUUGAUGUGCAGGAUACUUAAAUCAGUUACGCAGCCAGAAAAUUAAAAUUAGAGAUAAAAAAAUUUUCAAGAGUUAACAAGAGUGAGAUUAAAAAUUUUAUUAUUUUAAAAGGAAAAAUAAAAAAUUUUAUUAUUUUUUAUUAUUAGACUAAUUUUAAAAGGUAAAAUAAUAUAUUUUCAUAUAUUAUUAGACUAAUUUUAUUUUAAAAUUUAAUAUUAUUUCUUCUAAGUAUUUUUUUAUGAAUAGAAAUUUUAAUAGAGAAUUAGAGAUCAUCCACUGGAUUUAAAAGUUAAAAUAUAUUUAUAAAUUAUUUCAUCUAUUACACUUAAAUUAUCAACUUGUAGCUUCUUCAUACAAAAUAAGGAGAUAAUUAAUUUAUCUUAAAUCUAUAAAAUUUUCAUUUGAAAUUAUUUUAAUAUUUAUUUUAUAAAAUAUUAUUAAGAGCGAAUGAAUAGUGAGAUCCAAUAAAGAAGAGUAAAAAAUUAAAAAUGUAAUAUACUCUUUUCUAAAUUAUAUAAAAAAAUGACACUUAAAAUAGAACAAAAAAAAAUCUUAAAAGUUAAACAGAAUAUCGGAAGUAUAAAUAAUAGAUUUUAUUUUUUAUUUUUUAAAAAUCGAAUUAAUCAGAGCAAUACUAACAAAAUAAUAUUGUAAAGUUACUUAGGACAUCCCUUCCUCUUAUCUCUCCGUGUGGUCGCUUUCAUUGGCUUCAUAAUCAUACACAUAUUCAUGGCCCACUUACGAAGCCAUCUCACAACCACAAAAUAUAAUUUUCAAAAGAAAAAUGACCGUUCGGACAGCUUGUUAAGUUUUUCCACACUUCUUCCUCACUUUCCCACUCUCUAUAACGGCUACAAUAGAAGGCUCUGGAACAAUCUACCUGUUUUAAGACGGCGGGACACGUGUAACCAAUCACAUGGGCUGCUUUUGCUCGAAAAUGGAGAAGAAUAAGCUGUAGUGUUACUCUUAGAUGUGAAUUAUUUGCUUCAAAUGAUGCUUUAGUUGUUUCUAGUGAAAAUAGAGCAAUAGUAAUUUUUUUUUUUUACCAUUUAAUAUGAUGUACAAUGAAUUUUUUACACUAUGUACUAUUAUGCAGCAGUUACAACAUUUUAAAGUCCAUCAAAUAGUAUAAUCCAUUAGAAAAUCCAAUAAAUUUCUCAUUGCUCUUUUGAAUAAUAUUUACUAUAUUUGUGCAUAUUAAUUAUUAAAAAAAAUUUAUUUACACCCGGUGUUUGGAUCUAUUUAUACAUCAAAUCAAUCACAAAUAAUAUUUUGAUUUAAUCAAAUGUAUUUCUAAUCAUAUAUUAAAAAAAGAUAAAAUAAUAAUUUUUUUGAUUGGUUUACUGAAUGAGACUACCCAUAUACUAAGUGUUGAUAAAAAUUUCCUUAAUUAUUAUAGAAAAGUUAGAAAUAAUUCAAUCGCUUUUCCUUAACUUACUUUUUUGCACUUAAUGUAAUAAAAAAAACUUCAAAACUUUAAUAAUGUAAAAUGAUUCUUACUAAAUUGUAUAGUUAAGUCUAAUAGGAUUGUUGAGACUUUGGUUCUUAAUUUAUGAAAUUUCAAUUUUUAUCCUAAAAAAAAAAAAACAAAGUAACAGGAAAGCUCAUAUAAAUGAACAUGCAAGAGAAAAAAAAAUCAUUUUUUAACUAAAGUAAAUUAUUGCAUACUUCCCUCCUAGAUUACUCUGAAAAAUAAAAAAUAAAAUACACAAAAUUAAAAAUAUACGAGCUUUGUUAACAGAUACAUAUUACGUACAUUUACGAUUACAUUCUUAGCAUAAUAUCAAAAUUUUCAAAAACAUUACAGUUCUUUUAUUCUAUUUACAUUGUAAGUAUCUCUCUACACAGAUUAUGCCAAAAAUACUUUUUGAAUAUCAGUUAAUCAGAUUUAAAAUAGAAUCAGGUGCAGGUGAUAUUACUUAAAAAAAUAAUAUUUCACUGUGCCACGGCAUAUAAGAUAAAAGUGUAAUCGGCAUAUAAGAAGGCACAAAAUCAAGAGAGUUGACAUGAAUGGACUGCUGUUGGGAGUGUGAGUUGGACGGAUUUGAAAUAAAGAUAAGAGGAAAGGCAUAGGUGGGACCUGUUUACUGUGCCACAGCAUGAACCGUGAUGUUUUUUGCCAGCUGGUGGACACGUGAUUCUUGAUUAGUUCAAUUACUGCAUUUGAUCAAACAUGGCCCCACUCUUUGAAUAUUUAAUUUAAGAAAAAAACCCAACCAGAACACCUCAUAUUUCCUGACUGAAAUGCUUGCUUGCUGCGGGCUACUACAAUAUAUAAGAUAUAUCUAUACUGAAACCCUUUAUCUUUAAUUGGCAUUAUUAAAAGAUUUUGUAACCUUACACCGUGGAAAUACUGGAAAUGACAAUUUUAACUCAUUUAAAUGUAAAAGUUAAUUAACAAAUUUAUUUUGGAUAAUUUAUACAAAAUAUGAAUAAAUAUUGUAUUUCUAAAAUAUAAGUCGUUUAAAGUAUUGCAUGCGAUUAAUGAAUCAAUUAAUUUCGCUAAAAAUUAUAUCACUCCGUCUCAAAAUUUAAGUUGUCUAAGGUGAUAAUUUUAUCACAAAAUAUAAGUCAUUUUGAAUAUUUUAAGAAAUUACAAAUGAUUUUUUUUCUUUCAACUGUAUCCUUAUUUAUAUUAGAUAUAAUACAACGAUGUGAGAUAAAAGUAACAAUGAGAGAUAAAUGAUAAUUUGUUCAAAUUACUCUUGAUUUUGUUAGAAAUUUAGAAAAAUUAAUUGCAUUUUUAAUUCUCGUAUAAAAAUCUUAAACGACUUAUAUUUUGGACAAAUAGAGUAAUAAACUCAACAAUAAUUUGAUUUAUGAGAAUUAAUUUAAACGAUCAAAUUAUCCUUAAUCUCAAAAUCAAGUUAUUGUAUUAUGAAUAAAGUUAAAAUUGGAAAAAAGAUUAUUUGUUAAAUAUGUUUUGAAAUCAAAUAGUUUUAUGAGUUAAAAAGAUUAGAAAUAAUCAUUUUUUAAAUUCAUUUGGUGUUAAAUUGGGAUGAUAAAUUAUCAAAAAAAAAAAAAAAAUAUAUAUAUAUAUAUAUAUUUGACAAACAGAUUGAAAGCUAGUUCUUUUGAAAGUUUACUGAGAACACAAAUUACAAGCUCAUAGUAGUUAGUAGCUUGAUUAAGGAAACCCAUGAAGGACAAAAUGACAGUGGCAAAUGCCUUUGAGACCAAAAGGCUUCAGCUUCAAUUUUUUAUAACGUAACAUUUAAUAUCUUUCUCUUUAUGAUUUUUAAAUUAUUGUAAUUGCUAUCAACAGUAUAAAGUAUAGAAAAUUCAUUAUAUAUAAUAUUGAAUAAAAAAAAAAAAAGGGUGAGAAAUGUCAUUAUUUAUAGAAUUAAUUCACACAAACAUAAAUGCGAAGCUUCAUUCUACCUUUUAGGUGCUACCAUUCACUGAAGGGGAACGCACGCAUCAUUGAAGCUCAACGCCUGUCUUUUGCACUUUUCAAACUGAAUCAUUUCAUUCGUGAAAUAAAUUGAUGGAUAAAGGGCAAUUGCCAAACAAUAUUAACGGCAAAAACAAACGAGUCUUUUUUUUUUUUCUUUUUCUUUUCUUUUCAUUAGAAUAUUUAAAGUAUUGGUUAGAGGUAUAAUUAUAAAAUAUAAUUGAUCUCAUAAUUAAUCUUUUCCUUUUCUUAAUAAUAAUCAUUAUAGUCUUGCUUUUGGUGUUAUAGUUGUUUUUUUUUUUUAAUAAUAAAAAAAUAAUGUAUUAUGUCAAUCGAAUGUGAUCUGAUUGGUAUUUCCAUUCACCUUGAGAAGUUUCAAAUUUUAGAUAGUUAACUAUCAGAGUUAUCGUCAAUUUUGCUUAUAAAACAACAAGAGAGCUACCUAUAUUAUGCAGCCCACAAAAAUUCUUUAUAAUAAAUUAAAAAAAUAUUAUUUUAUUAAAAUUGAUAUAUUAUAUUUGUUAUUUAAUAGUUUGAACUAGAAAAAUAAGCUACUAAAAUUCACACAGAUUUUCUUAAAUAUAAAUUUUUACUAUGAAAAAUAGAAAUCAAAGUCAGAAAACAGAAAUGAUACAAAAUAGACACGUAAUCAUAUUUGAUGAGCAUUUCUCAUAAUACACGUUAGCUUGUUUAGCUUGUUUCGUGUAAAUUGAUGAUCCCAUUCUGUUUCGACAUAAAUGGUAUCAUUGGUUAUUAUAAACAAUUUCAAAAAUUUUUGAGCUACCACCAUAAAUACAACUUGUAUGAUUUCAAUUUUCAAAUUUAAAAGUUAUCUAAUAUCUACUUUAUCAAUGGACCUACACCUUUCCAAAUUUCUUGUUAAUCUUAUGCAUUAGAAAAUUUAGCCAAAUAAAAUUGAUAUUAUAUAUCAAUUUUAUUUAUUUUUCAAUUUAAAAUCACAAGUUUAAUUAUCGGAAAAUGCAUAUACUAUGAAGAAAAAAUUUUUAUAAUCAACUAUCCAAAAGAGAUUAGUUUACACCAAUAUAGUAGAAGAAAAAUAGUGGAAGAACACGUGACGAUUCUAAUAUGAUAUACAUAAACUAAAAAUAUUUUAAAGGAGUCUUCACUUAUAAUUUUGUUUUCAAAAUUUAAUACUUGUAAUUUGUUUUAACCAACUAUUUACUAUUUUUAAUUGAUUUUGUAAACUCAAAACUCCAUUUAUUUUUCAAAAAAUAAUUUAUUUUUAAAAAAUAUUUUUAAAAGCAAAACAUACUUGAAAAUUUGAAAUAACACAUUUUCUAUUGUUUGGUUACAAUAUUGAAAAAUUGUUAAAAAAUAUUAAAGCUUUUAUAAGAUCGAAAAAAUUUAUAAUUAUAAAAAGUUUCACAUUUUAAAAUUUUAUUAUUUAAUACAACAUAAAUAUUUAUUACGUGCUUGAUUGUAAUUUGUAUCUAAGACUUAAUCAUAUUUUAUGGACCAAAGAUAUAUUUUGUAUAGAAUCCAGAUAGAAAUAAGAGAUUAUAUUCCUAAAUCCUUCGCUAACUCUCAAUGAACUAGCAAUCACUCCAAAAUACUUAUUGAAUUGGUAUUUCAAAUAUUUAUCUAAUAAAGAUUCCACCUACAACUCUAAUGAAAAUUCUUUACCUCUGUAUAAAAGAGGGAUCAAACUCCCUACUCACACUAUUUAGGCAAUGUAAUACCAAUAUAUUUCAUUCAAUUAUAAGUAUUUAUUAUUUAUUUACUGACUUAAACAUAAAAGUGAUUGCAGGCCUAGAUGAGACCUUUAUUAUUCGUUUAUGUCUUGCAGAUUUCUACGGACCUCUCUUUAUUUUUCCUUGUUCAUUUAUGUCUUACAGAUUUUUACAUAGGCGCUAUGGAUAGAUUUUUCUAAGUCUAUCAUUAUUAAAUAUGAGAAACAAUAUUAUAAAAAAAGAUAAAUUACGAUAUCUAUCGAUGACCGUGGUCGUGAAAAUAAUGAUUAAUUAAUAAUAAAUAUGUAUUUAUAAGUUUAUAAUAAAUUUAUCAGUAUCUGAAAAAUAUUUUUCUCUUUUAGAAAAAGAAAGUUAUAAAAAUGAUUUAGUUCUCUCUUUCUUAAGGAAAAUAUCAUCUGUUGCUAAUUUUCUUGAACACUUCAAACAUUAAAAAAAAAUCUAAAAAAUAUUAUUCAGACAAGUUAUUUCUCGAAAUUAAUGGAAUCUCAAUAUUAAUUUAUUAUUAUUUUUUCCAUUGAGAAAAAAAUAUAUUAGAUUUAUUCCACUAUUGAGAAUAAAGGAAAUCAUUUAAAAUAAGAAAGCUCAAAAAGUUAUAGCCGUAAUACUAAUAGCAUUAUUUCAAAUUUGUUUGACAUGAUGUAAUCAACCGAAAUGAUAAUUACAUUAUAUGAGUAAUUACAUUAUUUGAUUAGACUUUUUUUAAUAGCGUAGUAUAAUUGAGACUACGUGUAUAAUCUUCAUCACUUAAAUUGAUGUAAUACUCAUUACAUGAAAAAACACACAUAUUGUCUAUUACAUCAAGUAAAUGGAAUACCGAUUAUAUUAAGUCAUCCCAAUCAAAACUCUACCAUUCUAGAUUAUUUAGGCUGUGUUGGGUAAUAAAGUUUUGAGUGGCUUUUAAAGUUUUGACUGGUCAAAACGUUACUUAAAAAGUUGUUUGGUAACAUAGCGUUUGGACUAGCUUUUAGAGAUUAGAAUAACGUUUUGUGAAAAGUUAACUCACGUAACGUUUAGCUUUUAGCGUUUCAUGAAAAACUACUCAAACAGCUAACAACUAAACACUAUUAAAAUAGCAAAUAGCUACCAAAAUAGCUAAUUUUGCCGAACAUAUCCUUAAUACUACCACUUCACCACCACAACCACUAUCACCGCUUCACCACCACAGCACCACCUUAACACCCACCACAACCACUGCCACAAUUACUACUCCACCACCACCACCACCACUACUGUUCCAUCACUACUUCAACCACCAUUACCGCUCUGCAACGACAACCAUCACCAUUGUUCUACCAUCACCACUACUACCACCAUCACUGCUCCAUCACUAUCACCUCAACUACCACCACCGCUGCUGCUGCCUCAACUCCUACCAUCAUCGCUCCACCACCACUAUCACCACCAUCGCUUUACCACCACCACCAUGUGGUGGUGAUAUGAUUAGUGGUGAUGGUGUGCUAAUUAUAUUACAUAUUUACAAAAAAAAAAAAAAAGAACGAUGAUUAUAUUCCUAAAUUUUCUUGAUAAUAUUAUCAAACAUAGUAAUGAAAUCUUAAUUAAAUUACGUUUUUCAUCACAUUACUUCUUUAAUUACAUUAUAUUGCCUUACAUCAAACCAGACAUAGCGUUAGCAUGUAUAUCCUCAUACACAUCAAAACUUGACUCUAAUAUCUAUGAGAAAAAUGCACAGUUAAGCCCUUAAAUUUAAUCAGUUUUUCCAUUAAACUUUUAUUUAUGAAUAUUAAGUUUUUAAACUUUUAUUUUUUUUAAAAAAAUUAAACUCUAUUUAACCGAGAUUUAAACUUUUAUUUUUUUAAAUUAAACUCUUAUUUAAUUAUGAGUUAAACAAUUAUAAUCCCAUAUGUUAUACGCGGUUGAUGGGAAAACUUAAUCGAAUUGUUAAAUCUCUUAAACUUUUAUUUUUUGAAAAUUAAGUUUUUAAAUUUGUACUUUUGUUAAAGUGAGUAUUUAAAUUAUUUCCAUUAUCAGUGAUUUGAAUUUAUUAUUUACUCACUAUCGAUUUAGAACUUAAUUUUAACUUAAAUAAAAAUUGAAGGAUUCAAUAUUGAUAAAUGAAAUUGCAGGAGCUUAGUAGACAAAACUUGAAAAAUAAGAGGCUUAAGUACAUCUUUUACCAAAUAUAAUCAAGAGUUAAUUUACACUCACACAUAGGUGAGGAUAGGAUUAGGAUAGAAGUGUGGUAAGUGCCCGCGAACUUUGAGUUAUCCAUAUCUAUAUCUGUUUAGAGCUUUAAAAUCAAUUGUAUCUAUGUUAAAUCCGUUUAAAUACCUAUAUCAAAAUCUGUUUAAAAUUUUACUGUCCGAUCCAUUCAAAAUCUAUUUUAAAUACUUGUAUUUGAUGUUCAUAAAAUUUAAACCAUUUAAACACGAACUUAUUUAAAAAAGUAUCUUCCAUUGAUAAUGGAUAAAGUAUCAAGGAUACUCACAGUAAAACUCAUUUAAUAUAAUGGAUAACAAGUAACGAAUAUUCAAACUCAUUUAGUAAAACUCCUGAAUUCAAACGACAGGAUUUGCAAGUGAAGAGAGAUGGAACCUAAAACGGUUGGCUAUGUACUCAAUGUAGAUUCACUAACAAAGUACAACAAAUGCAAAUACCAAGUAAAAAGGAACAAAUGGUUAAGAAUUCAGACAAAGUCCUAACUUCAAAGUUCAAAGUUCAAACCAUAAAAUCAUUUCAGUAAGGAGAAAUCAAACUAAAACUUUUGAAUGUUAAAAUUUCAACUUUAACCACAGAACCAAAACCCUGUUAGCUAUGUACUAACACAAAGUGCAAGAAACACCGAGUACGAACUCAAGCACAGUAAGAUUGAGCUGGAUUGCCCAUAACCCAAAAACACUAGAAUGUGUCUGGUGUGGAGGGGUCCAGAAGCCAACUUAAAUAGAAGCAGAGGGACAACACUGGAAAUUAUGAUUUAAAAAAAAAAAAAAAAAAAAAACUAAAAAGCAAAGAGAGAAACAGACAAGAAAUAACCGUUGUAGGGGUGGCUUUUUGGGUUGGAUGCCAGGCUGACGCUUGAGCCCCCCUCAGAUGAUUCAGCUCACAUGGUCUAUCUGUACACUCUGGGUCCCACCCUCCACUUUCUCUCUCUACUACCCUCUUUGGAUUAGUUGUCAAAUGAUCCUUUUAUGUUAUCAUAUUACACACUUUCAUCCUAUCUAUUUCAAAGUUACUAACUUUAGUUAAUGAGAUUUAAUCUGCCAAAUGCAUAAAUUAAUAUCUAAAUUUUAUAAGAAGAGUCUAGUAGCACCUUUAAACGUUGAAAACUUCUUUUCGUAAAAUUAUAGCUAGUAAAUGCCUUAAUUUAAAAAACCGUAUUUAUUAAAUACUUAAACGUAUAUAAUUAUGUUUAUUAAAUAUUUAUCGGAUGAUUUAAAAUAUAAAAAUUUUAUUAUUUAAUAAAUUAUAUUAAAAGUUAUAUAAAAUGUUACACUUAUUGAAUAUAUUAUUUAGUAAUUGUUGUAAAAUUAAAAACCCUGUUUUUUUUUUUUUCAAAUUAAGUUGAUACUUAGUCUCAACUGUGCUUUUAUCCAUAAUUUUAAAUAAUUUAUUUGUAGAAACCCUAAAAACCAUAUAUUUUUCGUUGACAUAUCAUAAAAAUUAAAAUUAUUAAUUUCAAACUGUUUAAAUACUGGUAAAAUGUAAAAUAAUGCAAAUGGUGACAGUUUUUGCAACCAACUUUUUUUCUUGGAAAUUCUCUGUAUUACAAUCGUCUUUUAUAAUAUUUUUAUUAAUAUUAUUUUGUUCCAAACAUGCCCUUGUCUUAUCCAAAUAAUGCCCCGUACUCUCCUGCCCUUCUCUCUAUUCUUAUAAGGGCAGUGGCCUGUGGAUCAAAGACCACAGUCCCAAGAGAGAAGAGAAAGACAAAGCAAUUAAGCUCACAAGAGAGAAGCUCUUCUAUUUUCUAGAGUAAGAAAGAAGAAAGAAGACGAUGGCCAAGGAAGUAAGUGAAGAAACGCAAACUACCCAUGCAAAGGAUUAUGUUGAUCCACCACCUGCGCCACUGAUCGACAUGGCUGAAAUCAAGCUCUGGUCUUUCUACAGAGCUUUAAUAGCUGAGUUCAUAGCCACUCUCCUUUUCCUUUACAUAACUGUAGCCACUGUAAUUGGCUACAAGAAACAAACUGAUCCAUGUGGUGGAGUUGGUCUUUUGGGCAUUGCAUGGGCCUUUGGUGGCAUGAUCUUUAUCCUUGUUUACUGCACUGCCGGUAUAUCUGGUAAGUAAAAAAAAAAGGAACUAUUUCUCUAAGUUACUAGUACCCAAAUGGGUAUUUAUUAAGUUUUAGGUUUCUGUGAAGUUUCUUUGUGGAUUUGGUCAUUCAACUUGAAAAAUAACAAAACCCAUUUGUUUUCAAGACCUGUUUAAUAAUGGGUUUUCCUUAUUUUGGUUACAGGUGGUCAUAUUAACCCAGCAGUGACCUUUGGGCUGUUUUUAGCAAGAAAGGUGUCACUAAUUCGAGCCUUGGCUUACAUGGUGGCUCAGUGUUUAGGUGCCAUCUGUGGUGUAGGGUUGGUCAAAGCUUUUAUGAAGAAUCCAUAUAAUCAUCUUGGUGGUGGUGCUAACUCUGUAAAUACCGGCUAUAGCAAAGGAACUGCUUUGGGUGCUGAGAUCAUCGGCACUUUUGUUCUAGUCUACACUGUUUUCUCUGCAACUGACCCCAAGAGAAGUGCACGUGACUCACACGUUCCUGUAUGUUAUCAACCAUAGCCUAGUAUAGCUCUCCUCUUUCAUGUCAAAGAGUUCAAAUCUAAACUUUGUUUUGGUUAUGUUUGGUUGCAGAUUUUGGCUCCACUUCCAAUUGGGUUUGCAGUUUUUAUGGUUCACUUGGCUACCAUACCCAUUACUGGUACUGGUAUUAACCCAGCGAGGAGCUUCGGUGCUGCUGUUAUUUACAACAAUGAUAAAGUCUGGGAUGAUCAUGUAAGCCUCUUGAUAGUCAACCAGAAACUUAUUUUUCUUGAUUUUAUGGUUGUUUUGAAGUUGGUGCUUUUUAACAUAAAACAUCAGAAGUAGGUUAAUUUUCAAGAAUAUGUUUAUCUUCUUGAUAAAAUAAUUUAAUUUCCUUUUUAAUUAUUUUUUGGAUGGGCAGUGGAUUUUCUGGGUUGGACCGUUUGUUGGAGCAAUUGCAGCAGCUGCAUACCAUCAAUACAUACUGAGAGCAGCAGCUAUCAAAGCUUUGGGAUCUUUCCGCAGCAACCCCACCAACUAAAAUGAAAGAAAGAACGAAAGAAAGAAAAACAAGAAAAAAAAAAAAAACCAAAGGCUUUGUGUAGCUAUCUUUAGUCUCUAGUCUUUCUUUUUCUCUAUUUGUUUGUUUGUUGUGUGUAAUGAGAGGAUUAUGAUGAUGACCCUUCUUUCUUCUUUCUUUUUUUACUUCAUUUUUUCUUUUCUUAUUGUUCUUUUGUAUCAUUGUUAAUGAGUAGUGCUGUUCUUUUUUCUUUCUUUUGAUCAUAUUUAAUUGCUUUGUGCAGUGUAGAACGUUCUCUCUCAACACUCUUUUAAUAAUUAGCCACUAAAUAAACUACCAGCUAACUAAAUUUUUAUCCUCUCGACCUUCAUUACAGCGGUGCUAGUGAAUUUGUGAGUAGCGGUUAGGCCAUCUUCGGGAACAGUUUUUUCAUAUGGC
RNAcentral lists this long non-coding RNA (80848 nucleotides) under Jatropha curcas. Its description in RNAcentral is "long non-coding RNA (JCUR_LNC002385)". Lineage: Eukaryota; Viridiplantae; Streptophyta; Magnoliopsida; Malpighiales; Euphorbiaceae. The record is from RNAcentral.